Molecule: long non-coding RNA, 59342 nt
Filed under: Ananas comosus (pineapple)
Lineage: Eukaryota; Viridiplantae; Streptophyta; Magnoliopsida; Poales; Bromeliaceae
Description: long non-coding RNA (ACOM_LNC022068)
Source: RNAcentral
AUUCUUAAAAAUAAUUUUAUGUGAGCCCCACAACCCUCCAAAAUAAGAGGAUGCCUUCAAAAUUUUGAAUUUUUAUUUUUAGGGACUAAAGUGAAAGAUAUGUAAAGUUUAGGGACUAAAAUUGAUAUGCAAAAGAACGCUAAAUAGAUGAUGGCAUGAUAAUGUCGUUAAUUCUAAAACCUCUUUUAACAGUUCUAUUUCAUCGCGAUGAAAUCAAGAGAUUUAAAAACUUGAUUGCAAAAGAAAAAAAAAAAAAAGAUUAGAGACCAAAAUAAAAAAUAGUGAAAAUGUUGGAGACCAAUGUGCAAUUAAUUCUUAAAAAAAAUUAUAUGUGGGCCCCACAAUUCCAAAAUAAGGAGAGGCCUUCUUUAGAUUGCCAAUUCAUAUAUUGUAAGAUGUGUAAUUAAUCAUUGUGGGCCCCACAUCUCUCCAAAAUAAGAAGAGGCCUCCUUUAGUUAGGUUCCCAAUUUAUUUAUUGUACAGAUAGAUAGACAAGGGGACCAAAAUAAAAAAUAGUGAAAAAGUUGGGAAUCACUGUACAAUUAAUUCUUAAAAAAAUUUGUAUGCACAAUCCACCAAAAUGAGGGGAGGCCUUCAAAUUUUUGAAUUUUUAGUUUUAUGGACUAAAGUGAAAGACAUGCAAAGUUUAGAAACUAAAAUUGAUAUGCAAAAGAAAGCUAAAUAGGCGAUGACAUAAUAAUGUUGUUAAUUCUAAAAUCUCUUUUAACGGUUCUAUUUUUAUAGCAACUAAAUCAAGAGAUUUGAAAACUUGAUUGCAAAAAAAAAAUUAUGGACCAAAAAAAAAAAUAGUGGAAAGCUUGGGAACCAAUAUGUAAUUAAUCCUUAAAAAAAAUUAUAUGUGAGCUCCACAAUCCCUAAAAUAAGGGGAGGCCUUUUUGGGUUCCCAAUUAGUGUAUCGACAAUUGUGUAAUUAACCGACCGUCUCUAGAAUAAGUGGCAAAGAGCUUGGUGGUUCGUUCCUGAGACCCAAGUUCGAAUUCUAAUUGAUUCACAUUUCUAGCUAAGUUUAUUUCUAAAUGAAAUAAACGAAGCAGAUAUCGUACUACCUAUCUCUCAAAAAAAAAAAAAAAAANAAGAAAAGACAAUUGUGUAAUUAAUCAUUGUGGGUACCAUAUUUCUCCAAAAUAAGAAGAUGCCUCCUUUAAAUUGCCAAUUCAUGUAUUGUGUAGAUAGAUAAAUAAAUAAAAUAAAGUAAAAUAAAUAAAAAAUAAAUGAUUCGGUCUCCUGUGGACCCAAAUUUAUUUUCUUUGAAUUCCGGGUCCUUUUAAACAUUGUGGUCCCAAAGAACAUGAGAAAACACAUUAAAAUUGGCGUGUACGGCAUUGCAUUGAACACCACAUGUUUUAGAAUAAAAAAAGAAAAAAAAAAGAAAAGGAAAAAAAACGAACAAUAAAAACCCAAAAAUAAAGAGGAAAAUACAAUAUAAUUUUGGUGUUUGGAACCAAAACCUAAUUAAAUUUCAAUUAACUUUUAGUCAAAAGAAUAAGAAUAAGGAUUGAUUGCAUUUAUAUUUCUACAAAGCAGCGAAAUUACAAAUUCAUCCUUACAAAAUUUUGGUUAUUAUUUAUAAAAUUUAUUAUAUAUCUCUUGUUUGAAGUUACAUAGUUUGUAAAUAUACCUCUCUCUCAAUUUAGGUGGGCAGUUAAACUUAAACUUUUUCUCAAUAAAAUAACCAUUUCAAUUUUCGAUAAAUAUUUUCUUAAAAUAUAUUUAAUGUUGUUUUUUAUUUAUAAACUGUAAAUUACAAAUUAUAAUUUUUUAAAAAAAUUGUUAUGUAUAAAAUAACACAGUUUUAGCAGUGAAAAAUUAAAGAUUAAUUGAAAACAGUCAAUAUGAAGAGUUAAUUUGCAUAUUUUGGGGAUUUUGAGGAAUGCAUUUGAUAGUUAAAACUUUGGAGCUAGGAAUACAUAUAAAAUUAGGAUAAUUGCUUACGUAUUCCUAAAAAGUCCCAGACUUUUUUAUUUACCUCGCUUAAAAGGUUAAUAUAAAAAAUAUCAUUUUAACGUUCCAAGUUCUUUCAAAUAUAUCUUUAGAGAUGUUAUCUUUGUAAAAUAACUAUUUUUCUUUUUCAAAUAUAUCUUUUUAUCUUUACUAGCUUUUGUUAUUUACCUUUAAGGCAUGUUUGGUUCACCUAUUUUAGACUAUGGAAUCGAAAUGGAAUUUAUUGAUUCCGAUAGUUGCCGUUUGUUUUAUAAGAAUCGGAUUUCGAUUUUCAUUCCACUCCGGAAUAGGAAUGGCUAAAUCCAUUUAUGAUCCAAUCCAGCUUUGAAUUCGGGAUUAGCUCUUUCCAAAGUAAACUAUUGAAAAUCCUCUUUCAUCAGCACCUACCUCCUCUCCCUUCAUCACUUUCCUCUCUCUUAAUCAAAACCCUCUCUCAAAAAUUUUAAAUUUUCAUUCCGAUUUCCAUUCCAAUAAUAAACCAAACAUUUUGGAUGAUUCGUCAUUUAAUUUUCUAUUUCAAAGCAAUCCAAUUUCAUUUCUCAUUCCUAUUCCAAUCAUGAACCAAACAAGCGCUCAAAUUAAAGGCAAGAAAGAUUUUUUUUUUUUUUUUUUUACUCUAAUAGAAAUUUAAUUGGUAUUUAACUGAGAUUGCUUAACAAAUAUUAAGAACGGAUUAUUUUUGAAUAACGUAAAAAUAUAUCAAAAAUAUAUUUAAAAUAAAAAUAAAAAUAUAUCAAUAUUUCAAAAAUUUUGAGAAAAAUAUAAAUAAUUAUCCCUAUAAAAUAAUCCCCAAAACUGUUAAUUGUAAUUGUAAUGCAAUAUAGAUUUUCCUCUUGGGAUAAACUGAAAGACACAAUUGAUGUAAACUCCCCUAUAAAAUACAUUUUGUUUUUAAAUAUUAAUAAAAGGUCAAGGGCAAUUUUAUAAAUUUACUAUACAAAUUAACCCAAGUCUCAUACUCUUCUGAUGUUACAUCAUCUAUUAAUGGUGGUCACAAUCACACUAACUCGACCAAACCACCUUUCCAGCUUUUUCCAAAACCUAAUAAAAAGAAACCUACCACAUGCCUCCCCCACAAAUAGGGAAAUAACGAAUUCAAAAUUUUAAAAAUUCGAAAUAAUAAUAAUAAAAAAACUAACUUUUCUUAAAUUUUUUUCAAAAAAAUGAGGAGAAAAAGAAAAAAUAAAAAAGAAAAAAAAUGACGAGCGAAUUGGCCCCAACUCGUAUUUUUAUUGCUUUCGCGGGCCGGAUAUAAUUUGCGCAUAGAGGAACUCGUUCCAGGUGUCCGGCACGCCAGGCAGGCACCAGUGGAUGCAGUCGGCGUACAUCGCGGGGUUCGCCUGCUGCUCCGGUGUCAGCAGCUUGCCCUGCCGGAGGGUGUGGACGGACGUGUGCGCGUCCUUCCGGACCUCCGAUAGCGCGGUGAUGUUCACGAAGUGGACCGGCGUCCCCCGCCGGUUCAGCCACCGCGCCGUCUCCGCCGCCACCGCGAACAGCCGCCAGUCCGUGCCCAGCUCUAGCGGCUUCGUCCGGUUUGCCACCGGCGUCGUCUCCAGCGCGCACUUGAUGCCGUUCGGAUUGCCCCACCCGGCACUCCUGGCAUGCAAAGAAAAUCACAAUAUCAAGACGCAAUUGAAAACAAAUGUACGAACAUUCGAACUUCAAGGAUAAAAUUGUAUGAAUGUCCGAUAUACACUUCAUUUUAGAGUAUACCAAUCUCAUAUACCGUUAUGUUUAUGUAUAGGGUAAAUUGCACGUUUCGUCCUCAAACUAUGUGCCACAUGGCACUUUAGUUCUCAAAUUUUGACUUUUUAUAAUUUCUGAUUGAAACUUUCAGAAUUGUUAUAAUUAAAUUUCAUAAUCUAGUUUAAGUUGACUAAAUUUUGUAAAAAUAAUAUGAUCUUUUAAUUAUUGGCUUAUUAUCAAUCACAAUACAACUAUAGUACUUCUACAUUAGCGAUAUAUCAAUAUUUAGUCAACCAAAUUAGUUUAUAGAAUUAGAUUGUAAUAAUUCUAAAAAUUCAAAUAAAAAAUACAGCAAAUUAAAGUUUGCAACACUUAUCACCAACCUCAUAGUUUGAGAACAAAAUGUGCAAUUUACCCUUUAUGUGUAGUAUAUCAAUAUCUAAGAAUAAGCUAUCACUCAAUUUAAAGAGACAAUUUAAAAAGCCAACUUGAUGAACCAACAUUUAAACUGAUAGCCUAUAAAACAUAUGUAGAAGAACUUUUAAGUGUUCAAACUAAGAAACUGAGCCGAAACCAAACCGAGAUUUUCGGAUUGUUUCGAAUUCGUUUUUUCCACACUAACCCAAAUAAUACUCUUCAAACAUCAAUCUAAAUUUCAAUACAUGUGAUAGAAAAUAUUCUUCGAAACAUCGAUGUAAUAGGAAACAGUUCAAAAAUUGUCUAAACACCCCUGAUUACAUGUGUGAAUGUGCCAUAAAAAUGCAGGAAACAGCCCAGAUCAUGGGUACGAGUGAAUGUGCCAUGAAGAUGUAGGAAAAGGUCUGUUAAAUAUAAAAAUAUAUAAACACUGUUCUCUAACAGUUUAAGCUUUUAGAGUACAGCGGUUGUUUCGUAUUACUUCACAUGGUCUGCAAUAUGUCUCAACACUCGCGAUCACGCGUGAAUAGAGGAUGUAUGACAUAAAAAUGACGAAUACAGGAAUCGAACUCCAAAUCUUCGCGAAAUGGAGGAAAUUUAGGAUUGAUUUUGAUAUCAUGUUUUCCGAAAGAUCGAUCAAAUAGAAAACGACAGAGAAUUUGUCUUAAGCAGAAAGACAUUCAGAUAUACCAUGUUUAAUUUGUUAAAAGAAUAAUCAAGUAGGAAAUAAAAACAGCAUUAAUCUUAACAGAAAAGACAUUCUCAUAGUUUAAGGGGGUUCUACAGGCCUAUUAUGUUUUUCAGAAGAUCGAUUAAGCACGAAAUUAAACAAAAUUUCUCUUAACAGAAAAGACAAUUUGCAGUUGAGGGGAUUCGCCAAAUUUCUACGAACUUUGAGCUUUAGAUCAUUUAAAAAUGACUACAUAAUCUUUAAAAUUUUGAUUUUACAACCUAACAUUUCAUUUUAUUUCAUUUUAGUUGUUUAUUAGUUUGAAAAACCAAUGCAUGCACCCGGUGCAUUUGUACAUUCAUACACUGCACUUUUAUUAUUCAUUCAUUUAUCUAAUUCUUCAAUUUUUACCAUCUGAUAAUUUAUAGCUUUUUAGUUAAAAAAUUAAGCAAUUAUAUUAACAACAUGCAUGAGAUGCAUUUAAAAAAGAAUAAAGAUCUAAUGUACAAAUAUCUAAAUGCACUAGUUACACGCAAUUACUUUUUAGAAGACAAAUCAAACUAUUUAAAAGAUUAAACAAUAAACUUAAAGAUUUUAAAAGUUGGAUAGUCAUUUUCAAAUAAUCUAAAGUUUUGAUCAAUUCUAUAUAAUUUUAUCUAACAAUUAUUAUUAUUUUUUGAGAGAGAAAAGUAGCAUAGCAUGCUACAGCUCCGUUCAAGCAUGGAAAAUAGUUUUUUUUCCAUAAAAUGUUUGAUUUUUUGUUUUAAAAAAAAAACUAACUUUUCUUAAAACCAAAUGUUUAAAAAAUUAAAAAACUAGAAAAGAAGUUUUCCAUGAUUUUUUUUUUCAUAUUUCUUCUAAAAACCAAACAGCAUUUUAGUCGGAAAUACAAAAAAUUACACUUCAAACAUAAAAUCUCUUAUACCAACUAUUAAAUUCUUUACCGCAUAUUAAAUAAUGGAAAACCUUCAAAUAUCACUACGGUGGUUUCGUACUUUUUUAUUUUAAUACCAUGUGGUUUAAGUGUAUCAAUUUAGUAUCCCGUAGUUUUAUUUUUCUCUUUUUGUUAUCUACUCUACUAAUUUUUUUUUUUUCUUCGUUAAAUCAGUGAAAAAGUUAAAACUAAAAACGUACUAAAGUGAAUAUUCGAUAAAUCUAGGUGGGGUAUUUGAAGUUUUUUGUCUAUAAUUUAACAAAAUGUUAACGGAGAAGCUGACGAAAAGAAAAAAAACAAAAUUAUAUAGUACUAAGUUGAUACAUAUUAAAAUAUAGAAUACUAAAAUAAAAAAAAUACGAAACCACGGGAGCGGUAUUUAAUGUUUACCUUUAAAUAAUUAAUUGAACAUGCAUUAAUGCGUAAUAACCUUUUUAGGCUAGGGGUCCCUUUUAGCACGUGCGAUUGGUGGUGUGCAUGAGUGUGCGCGAGCGAGCGAGCGUGAUAAUUGAAGCACUCCAUCAUUAUUAUUAUUAUUAUUAUUAUUAUUAUUACCAUAGAGAGAGUCAUGUGAUGUUGGGUACUCUCAAAGGGAAAACGACAAAGCGCUUUUAUGAACAGGUGCGUGACACAUCAUUAUUGUGGACCUUUCCCUAAUAAAAAAAAAACGAAUCUCGAGUAACGCAACAGUUGAAAAGGAUAAUUUUUUUUUUUUUUUUUGUUGUUGUAUUUUGCCUAAACUGCACAUUGGAUUCCCAAACUAUGAGAUUAGUUACGCUUCGAUUCUCAAAGUUUGAUUUACGAUUAAUUACAUAAAAUUUUCUAUAAAUAUAAAAUUUUUAUCCAUUUGACUUUAAUCGAAUAGUUAAAACUUUAGAUAUAAAUAAUAUUUUUAUAAUUAAGUUGGGCUUUAUAUUUAAAUUAAACUAAAAGCCAAUUAUUUACUUAUAUAUAAAAAUAAUAUAUGUAUUCAAACUGUUAUCGAGCCGAAUACGAGCUCGUUCGUGUUCGACUCGUUUAUCAAACGAGGUGAAAAAUUCAGCUCGUAUUCAACUCAUUUAUUAAUGAGCGAUUCGAUUUCGAUCUCAUUUUCAGCCGAACACGAGCCGGUUCGCGAACAACAAGCUGGAUUGCCACACUUAGUUCCAGCAUAGUAUAAUAAUACAAAUUCUCAAAGAAUCUUUCUGUGAGAAUCUUAUGAACAACUUACAAAAAAAAUUUAUUUAAUCAAGUAGAAUAAUAAAAAAUAUAUUUUGUGUGUGACUGAAUAUAAAAAUGAGUUAUUGAGCUGAAGAAGAAAAUCUAUGAAAAUAUAUAUAUUAUCCUAUUUGAUUAGGAAAGCUAUUAAGGUUUGGUUUUAGUCCAACUCCUGCAGAAUUUUUGGUACAAAAAAAAAUAAAUUAAAACUUCUACCGAUCUGCAACAUAAAGCUGAAAAAAAAAAAAAUUAUAAACCUCAAAAAGUGGAACCUAUGGAUUUUGGAUUGGGUUAGGAAUAUGAUGUGGUAGAUCUAGUUUGUUUAAUUAUUUCACCUUGUGUGGUGAGUACUGAGUACUAGCCUCAGCAUAAUUAUGUUGAGCACUAAGCUUUUAUUAAAGUUUUUCUCUUGCAUGCUUUUACGUAUUUAUAUUUUAUUAUCACUCUACUCUACGGUUCAAAAAAUUCCGGUUUUAUUAUCUUUCACCGUAAGAAUCUAUUAUAAACAAAAUAAUUAAUAAUAUAUUUUACGAAUCACGGAACGAUACAAUACAACAUUUUAUCACUUCAUAAUUUAUAAUUUACUAGAGUUGAAAAAGAACAGGAACCAACUCAACGUGUUUGUGAUUUUUCAUCCAUCGGAUCGCAUCGAAAUCCGUGCAGUGUUAAUAGAGAAGACUUGACGGGAUUCAUCGUUAAUAGUGCUGCACACGGAUCGUAAGAUGAUCCGUGCAGCUAAAAAGUCACGAGAGCUCAACAUACUUUUAAAUUUUUAACCGUCGAAUCGUCUCGAGAUCCAUGCAGCACUGAUAAAAGAGACUUGACGGGGCUCUCAUGUCGUUUACUUACGGUAAAAUAAAAAUGCGCUAAAUUACGAUGGCAAAUUAAAAAGAUUCACCCAAAACAUUUUAAAAGGAGGUUCAAAUUAAGAGAAAGAUCAAUGCUUACUUGAUAUGAAUGGGAGAAGAGCUCAUGAAGAACACCAUUGUUUUCCUCAGAUCCACAUUCUUCUCCACCCAUCUAGCCCACGUCUUCAGCACCCUCCGGUACGCGACCGGCCGAUCGAUCUCGUCGUACUUCGUCGAUCCUUUAUCGAACGAUCCCCGCCUUUCCCCCNCCCCCACCAAAAAAACAUAUUUUAAACAGACUCAGUUAGCUUUAACAGCUGAAAAAAUCAGAAACACCGACAAUAAAAAUGAUUCAUUUCGAACCAAAAUAGGAUCUUACAGGACUUUCAUUCUGGGGGUGUUCAUCCACCAAAUGUAGGUGUUGAAGAUGAGGUAGUCCACCCCCUUCCAGUUCGCGGCGUGCUUCGCGAUCGACGUCGGCAUGAUGAUCCGGUUCUGGAUGCUGUGGAUCGUCGGAUCGUCGGAGUUCGACUCCACCAGGAACGGCGCCCAGUAGAACUCCACCGUCGCGUUGUACUCCUAAUUUUGUUACACGUUUCAAAACAAAAUAAGCUAUAUUCUUACUUCAAUAAAAUUUAUUUAUUUUUACCUUCAACUACUCAAUUAGUAUCAGAUCCAAAUUUCAAAAUUUCUGAAAUUUAAAUUUUUAAAUUUGAAAAUAUGUUUACCUGGAGUGUGAACACAUUGAGCGAGCCAUUUUUGACCAGGGUUUUUUUGUCCCACGGUGCGACCCACUGGAGCAAGCACACCAUGGACUCCCACUGAUUCCGGUUCAACGAGUCCCCCACGAACAUUAAGCGCUUCCCCCGCAGCUUCUCCAGAAGCGCUUUUGCGUCAAACCUUAUCCCAAAAACACACACAAAAANNNNNNNNNNNNNNNNNNNNNNNNNACCAAAAAAAAAAAAAAAACUUAUUAGAUUAGAUCUGCGUGGAGAUCGAUGCUACCUAAUUAAUUUUAGAUAUAGAUAAUAAUUUUUUGAUAUAUUAUGCAUAGGUUCAAAUAAUAAUAGCAGUUAUUAUUAAUUAUUUACAAUGCAUGCCAUGCAGAUCUGCCUUAAUUAAUUACGUGUGUAUCUUUGUUGCCAAAAAUAAAAAUUAAAAAAUUAAAAAGAGGCCGCACAAAUUUUUAAAAAAAACUUGAAGGAAAAGAAAGAUUUUGCUCGAUCUCUCAGUAGGGAUGCAAAGCAGCUGAUCUGGGAGGAGUGUUCCAGGUUUUUUUUUUUUUUUUAAUUGUACUUCAACAAAAAUUUGGUCCAAACGUUAUGAGAUCAAAAUCACAAAAUUCAAAACAUAAUUAUAAUCAAAAUUUUUUGGGUAACAACUAGAAGAUUCUCAUUGUUUUCCUUAAUCCUCAUGCCUCACCACUGAAAAUCUCAGAUCUGUGGGGAGCAGUGGCAAGGACGGAGAAAUUGCACAUUUUUUCACAAGGAGAGAAAAAAUAAAAUUAUCAUUUUAAUACAAAGCGGGCACAAAAAGAGAGGAAGGAAUUUUUUUCUCUUUCUAAAAUAAAAAAAAAAAAUAGUACCAGUAUAGUCCGAAAAAAANGGGGGGGAAGAGUGAAAGAGGGUUUAAAGACCAGACAGAGGUUGGGGCAGAUCACGAUCGAUCGAUGGCGGUGGGUGGGCAAGACAGAGAGACAGAGAAAGAGAAAGGGUGGGUGGUGAGCUUGGUCCACUCUUUCUCUUUCUAUCUCCUCGUUAGAGAGAGAGAGAGAGAGAGAUUAGGAAUUGAGAAGGGUGGGUGUGAGGUCUACUCUUUCUCUUUCCAUCUCUUAUUUAAGUUUUUUUUUUCUAUAUUUUUUUUCGAAAAUUAUUUUUAAUUAGUGGAGAUUAGGGAUGUGAUAGCUGAUUAUUGAUAAUGUGAUGUAAAUAUUGUGAUGGGUGAUUAUUGAUAAGGCCACGUAAAUAUUAUAUAAGUGGCUUUUUUUUUUUUUUUUUCUCUGUGUGACACAAAAAAAUUCUACUGUAUGAUUCUUACAGUACAUUAUAAAUAACCAACCAUUCAAUUUUUUUAAAAAAAUAUAAUAAAAAUAUUUGUUGAAUAAUUAUUAUUAUUUUUUAGGAAAAGGUAGAGCAUGCUAACUGAUUUGUUUACUAAAAAUGUGAAUCAAUUAGGAUUCGAACUUGAAAUCUCAAGUACCAAUUACCAAGCCCACUGGCAUUCGAACUUGGGACAUCAAGUAACAAUCAUCAAAUUCUUUACCUCUUGCGCUAGCCAGGGACAUUCAGUUAUUAUUGAAAACGCUAUAUCAAUAUAAAGGUCAGACUUUUUUCCCUUUUUGAGACACAUUUUUUCUCUCCUCUUUUGAUUUGGAUGCAUGGUGAAGAAAAAAUCUAAAGUGCACUAGUUAUAUUGCUGAUGUGACAUUAAUUUCCAACUAAUUAGAUUUGCUUCACUCAUCUCAUUAUUGAUUAUUAGAGAAAUAUUUUUAUUUUAUUUUUAUUUUUUUUAAAAAAAGAUGUGAUUGGUUCGUAAGUGUUACAAUAUAGACUUUUUCAUGCAUGGUGAAGAGGAUGCUUCUUACAUUAAUCGUACUCUUUGGGGUUUAAUUUUUUAUUGUUUUGUGAUUUUAUUUGAUUAGUACUGUUUGGGGUUGUACCCUCCCAACAGGGGUCCAAACGGGAACAGGCGAACAGCUUCGUGGAAUCUAUAAGAGGGAGGUGGUGGACGCGGGUCAAAUGCGUAGCAUGUAAGCUUUUAUAUAUAUAUAUAUAUAUAUAUAUAUAUAUAUAUAUAUAUAUAUAGAGAGAGAGGUUUUACUAUCGAUAAUAAACGAACUCAAUUUACUACCGAUUUAUUUUCGUAUUAUAGCUUUCAAAUUGAUGAUGCGCACAUUAAACAUAAUCAACAAUAUUUAAACUAUUUUGGAAAUCAAAUUUCACACAUUUUCGAUAAUUGUUCUCUUGUGCCAUCAAGUGGAGCAGAAAAUGAAUGGCUGGAUAAUAAUAUGCCUUUAAAAAGUGAUGAUACAAUUUUAUAUUUGAGAUCUAGAGUUUAGAUCUAUUUUAAUAGUUUAAAAAAAAUUUUAACAAAAAUUUAGUUGAUUUGAUUCUCUAUACUGUUAAACGAGCAAAACCGUACCAUAUCGGCUAUUAAAAUUAUAGAUUUUGUGACCCUUUGAUCGUUCAGUUAGUGAUGCUAAAAAAUCAUGAAAUUUGAUUUCUAGAUAAUUUAAAUAGUCUAGAUUAUGUUCAACGGUGCCGAUCGUCGAUUUGGAAGCUGUAUCAUCAAAAAUAAAUCAGUAGUAAACCGAGCAGUUUACUACCAAUAGUAGCCCAAUCAAACUCUAUAUAUAUAUAUAUAUAUAUAUAUAUAUAUAUAUAUAUAUAUAUAUAUAUAUAUAUAUAUAUAUAUAAUUUUUGAGCUAUAUACCAUAGCUUUUCCAUAUAUAUGCGUAGCAUGUAUUUAUAAGUAAUCUUGUGAUGCUUAUUGUUUUGUAAAUAAUUAACUUAGUAGGGGUGCCAUUAAAAAUCUAUAUAAAUAGAGUUGCCCUAGAUAUAUACACCACCGCGGUAUUUUAAUUACGGACUAAAACAUGAGAAGUUUGAUCCUUCCUCAGCUCGCAUGUUUAUUAUUAGGAUUUUUCAAGUACCCACAAGAAAUAAGAAAUAAAUAGAAAAUUUUCUUUGCUUUCAGGUACGAGCAUCUUGUCUUAUAGGCUUAAUUAUAGCAGAAAAUUAGAUUACGUCAAAUCAUGUUCGAAACAAUAUAUCCGAAGUUUGUGUGAGACUGAUUGGACCGAAUCAUAAUCGAGACUCGUAUAUGCUUUAAAUGAGUUAGUUGUAUAUUUUUAAAAGCUCUGAUUUUUGGAAUUAGCGAUUAACGCCAAUGAUUCAACAAAUGGUAUUAAUUACGAAUUUUUAUCGCAGCGUCUAAUUAAUAUAAAGUUUUAAAAUUUUUUUUUGAGAGAAAGGUAGUAUAUUACCCGCUUCGUUUAUUUUGUUUUAGAUAUAAACUUAACUGAAAAUGUGAAGCAAUUAGAAUUCGAACCUGAAACUUCAAAUACCAACCACCAACUCCUUUGCUACUUGUGUUAAAGACGGUCGGUAAGUUUAGAAUUAUUAAGACGUUUAUGUUAACAUUUAAUGAACAAUAAAAAAGAAUUACUAAGAUGGUUAAAUGAUGACAAUACAAAAUUAAGGAUAAUUUGGUGCUAUGUACAAACUUAAGGACUUUGUAGAAGAAGAGUACCACUCACAAUAUGUACAGAAGAUUUUAUAUAUUUUAGCCUUGUUUUAUAUUUAGUACCUAAAACAUACUAUUUAUUAAGAACUUAUGAAUUUUUAAAAAUAUAUACCAUCUACAAUAUAGUUUUUUUAUUUUAAAAAAUAUAAAUAUAUAGAUAUAAUAACACAAGUCGGGAUUUCAACCGGUCGAAUUCGGACAGAUUUUAAAAAAAAUAUGAACCUGAACCCGACUAGUAAAUCCGAAAUCCGACAUAUUUGAAAAAUCUAUAUUCAAAUUCAAAUUUAACCAAAAAUUCGAAAUCCGAAUCCGUACCCAAAAUAGUUAUUUUUUUUACCAUAUUUCAAAAUAUAUUAUAUUAAAUUUAAUUAAAAUUUUUAAAAUAUAAUUUCAAGUAUAACAACAAAUACUUUUAUAUAGAGUCCGACUGGGAUACUAUUGAUAACACAAAGUGUCACGCCCCGGAUUACACAAUUUUCGGGCAUGUCGACAAAUCCGCCGUAUUCAAAGAAUUUUUCUUGUAUACGAAGCGUAUCGGUAACAGAAAAUAUACAAUACUACAACCAGUAGUAUAGAGCUGUAAAGAAACCAAACAGGUAGAAUAACACAAGUCUCACAUACAAACAACAAAACGCUAUACAAAGGUUCUCGCUCCAGCGAGUCAUAAUAACUGUAUGUACAUGAACUCAACAAAAUAAACUGAAACUACUUGCAGGGGUGGAUCCUCUAUCUCAGCAACUCGUCGGAUAGGGCUCUAACUCGCGACGCCCUUGCCUCGGUCCAGAUCAGCAACAGCAGCUGCCGAAGACGAUGGCUCUGCAAAAUAGGGUAACAACAGGGCGUGAGAACUACUGUAAAACAAGUAGUCCUCAGUGGGUGCCGCCCUCAACAAUAUCGGUCCACCCACUAAGUCUACAGAAGGGAGUAAGGAUAGUAGUACAUGCAGGAAUAAAAUCUACCGCUAUGAAUCACUAUAUUAUCAUGCUCUACACUAACCAACUGUAGGAAAUGUCAAAUCUGACUCAAUUAAAUCGGGACUGUAAGCAUACCCGUCCCUGUGACUAUGAACACACCCGUCCCUGCCCAGUUGCGACUAACCAGCUACCUCCACACUAUCUAGUCCGUGGAGAGCAAGUCCAACCGGCAUGAGCGACACCAACGCGAAAGCACAACGCCCGUCUCCGGAGUGGCACUCGUGGGAGCUAACCAACCGAGUAUGCAGCGUAUCUCUGUCGAGCUCAAUCAGGCUCUACCUCAAGCCAAAAUCCAAGUAACCGACUCUAACUGGUCUAACCACCAACAGGUCACGUGCUGUCACACCCCGAGCUCCGCCAAUUUGGUCGGAUUCGAGCACAUGACAGACGCCGAACGGACAGUACUUCCCCUAUCCACCCAAGGCUCCAACAACAAGUAUAUUACAAGCAAAUCAUAAAAGAGAAUUGCGGAAUAUACAAGGUUUGCACGAGGGCAAACAACAACCACAAGUGAAAUCAUCGAAGCUAUCUAAACAUCCAACAUACAAGUCAUUUGAUUUCCUUUGAAUCAAACACAAGUAGUCUAUUACAUCUACAUCAUUCUUUCACAUCACGUUUUUCUUUAACCAAAUACAUUGUUUACACCCUUCUUACAUUACCCAAAAUAUAAUUUACAUUUCUUGUUUUACAUCAUAUACAGUUCAACACCUACAGUUGAGAACACCAAAAUGUAGGGUAUACCUAUAUCUCGAGGGCCGCUAGCUACGGCGCAACACCCUUGCCUCGAUCCUCCGCCGUCUCGCUCACGCACGGAUCUACAGGGUUAGUGGUAAUGAAAACUAGAACGAAGUUCCCAGUGGGUUCGGCCACCGACCACGCCGAUUCGCCCACUAGGUCUAAUUCAGGCAUAUGUAUUUCAAUAAAGAAGGAUAACAAACCAACUAAUGCACUUCUAAUACAAUGCCUGCAAGAAAGCAAAUCACAGAUAAAUAUUCACAUUCAAAUACAUGAUGAUUAUGCAUGCAUGUCCUUUUCACUUUCCUUUGGCCUUUACCCAAUCAACCUGGGGUGCUCCUGGUUUACCCCAACUCACAGUCCAUAUAUCCCGUCUAACGAGAGAGGCGCAAGGCACAACCACCCGAAGGAUCUUCGCCGCGCACUUUCACCUAUGGUGUUUUAUUACUCCGGAGUACACCGCUUGUAGAGGAGCGACCUCCACAAGCCGGAACCAAUACCUGUGAGUAUGAUCCCAUCCUCAAUUUGAGGAGGUAUAGCCAAACCUGUCUCAUGCCUCAAUAUCUCAAUGCUAAUGAUAGGUUCUACCAUAUCAUAUACCGCCAAUCUGAGCCGCAAUGGUCCUGAUGCCGUGAUACGCAUAAUGCCACUUGAGUUAACGUUGUUUAACUAUACUCAUUUCAAUGCCAAUCGAGUCACUGUAGUCAAUGUCACCGUUAUUUACUAUAGUCAUAGUCUUCUCUCACAUUCACAUGCAUAUAGGGUUAUUCGUUUUUUUGUUGACAUGUGCCUAUCUCAUUCACAAUAAUCUUAAGCAGAUAAUUGAUACAAUCAACAUAUACCAUUCAUUACCCUACAUGCGAGAAUGUAAUAAUAACAACAUGCUCAAAAGUAGUGACAUAGAUAUAGAAAGAGACUCGGUGUUUUCGGAUAGCACCUCCCACCUUUGUGUGAUGCUAGGAUGCCGUGGUCCUGUUUUCACGAUUUUUAGACACUUUCGCCGCGAGCUGCGGAAAUCUAUACCAACUCGGCUUCUUUUUUCAAUAUCUUCGCGCACGCUCGUCGUAUCGCCAAAUUGAGCGCACCGAUGCGUUCGUUGACCUACCAAUUAGGUUAAAAAGAGAUCAAUCCCAAGAUUGAAUCUCAAAAUCCAAAAACCCUAAAGUUAGGUCCUUGUACAACAUUAUCUUCUUCAACUAAGUUCCUAAUAUGGAUAAUCAUGGAGGGAAAUACCAUAGAAGCUCCUAGAUGCAACAACUAGAAGCAGAAACUCAAAACUUAACUUAAAAUCACAAGAACUCACAUUUGGAGUCCAAAACUUUCCUUCAAAGCCUUGCUCUAGCUUGCUCUACACCUUGGAGAGCUUCUUCUCCAAGUUUUUCUCUUCCAAAAGCCCUUUUGGUCCAAGCCCUAGAGAGAGAGGGAGAGAGAAAGGAGAGGUUUUUUAGAGAGAGAGAGGGAGAGGUUUGUGUGAGGGAGAGCAAAUGAGCUCUCACCCAAGCCCUAGCUCAAAUAACCCUUCACAUGUCACUUUUGCACAUAAGCUCCUCACAUUUCCAUUUUUGCAACCAGCCCUUACUGGGUAAUUUCGGGCUCGGGGACCGGUCUCUCCCUUCAGGAACCGGUUCCCGAGAGCUAUCCUGCAAUCUGCGCAGAAGGAGACCGAUCUCCCCCCGACACAACCGGUCUCUCGGGACCGGUCUCCCGUCGAAGGACCGGUCCCCGAGAGCUCGAUCUCCAGGACUUAGCCGAUUUUUCACCUCGUUCGGCUGAUCAACAUUCGGGAACCGGUCUCUAACCCAAGGGACCGGUCCCCGAGACUAAAAUUUCUGGGACUUCUCCAGAAUUGCAGUUUCACUCUCUCGGGUGCCUUUAUACUUUACAUAUAGGCUCCAACGCACUUCUAGCCUAUAGUAACUCGUUCCUUUCCGCGUUCGGCACAUUUCGACGGAACUCGGCACGGCUUACAGGGAAUCACUAUGUUACACGUGCCCUCGGCACAAUCCGUCGCCAAAAAGGCGAUACAGGUUCACCGUCAACCUCGACGGUACCCAACAGUCCGGAACAGCCUGAACGCUACUAUAAAAAUAUACUCGGCAUCCCAGCACGAGUGUAACUGAAAGCUAAACUACCCGGAAUACUCACUAAGAGGAUACUGCUACAGUAUAAAAUAAUACAACGGCCCCUAGGGCUAAAUCAGAUAGUGUAAUUGAUGACAGGUCCAGCUCGCCGGUUUUCUCCUAAUUUAAUUUCCAAGUCCAACAUGUAUAAAUUACUUAAUUUAUAUCAUAUGCUCCAAAUAUAGAUUUGCAAUUCACAUAAUAAUCCAUGAAUUCGAGCUAAAGUAAACUACACAAAAUCUAAAAUUUAUACAUGUUGACUACUAAGCACUUAGGAGUAUAAGCCGAUGAUUAACCCACCUUAGUCGCUAAUCCCCGACAGCGAGGAAGUCCCGACACAAGGGAAUACCCUGCUGGAUCAACCGAAAACCUCCAAAGCCAGAAGUCAAGCUCCCGCCAAACUCUACACGUAGAAUCCGACAAUAAGCAUCAAUUCUGCCUCAAAAAUAGCAGCAGAGAAGACUAUAAUUCCGACCCAGCAAACCUUCACCAAAUCCAGCAAAUAAGGGUUUCGUGGAUUCCUCUCGAAGUUCUGAAUCCAACGAACCAAGUCUCGUCGAAAUCCGACGCUCCUACGCCGAGAACGAGCCGAAACACCGACGGUCGACGCUGGAAAUCAGCAAAACAGCACCCACGAGCUCAAAAUAGCACGUUCAAAUAAUUCAGGGAGGAAAAUUAGAUACCCACCUCGACAGCGAUUCCAGCGCCGACGUGACGUUGAGAACAGCGAAAACACUCCCUCGUCCGGCCUCCUUGCGACACAACGGCGGCGAACGUACGGCCGAACGGCUCCGCGGCACGACGUCAGCGAUGAAAUACUCUACCCGAGCUCCUCCACGACCGGUUUAGCUAGAGAGAGAGAGAAGAAGAAGAAGCAGGAAGAGAACUCCCUCUCAAACUCUCUACACCUGUAAAUAGCAAAGGGGUGGAGUGGUGACACGAACGAGGUGAGAAAAGACCCGAUUGCCCUCUCACCUACCCUGGCGUACCGGUACACGAGCUCACGUACCGGUACAAGAAGCCAACCCGAGAGCAGUCUGCGCGCAGCUAGUGCAGUGUACUGGUACACCACGAUGGCUGUACCGGUACAGCAAGCAGAAAAAUAGCUAUUUGCAGAUUUUUCUUGCUAAAUGCUGCUCUUGCGUCGCACAGAGUCCGUUUUGCGUCUAUUUCGCGCCAACACGACUCAGACUUGUCCCGACACUCUCCAGAGCUGUCGACAAGCCUUCACUGCCGAACACCAGGGAUCUCACACAAAGUAUUUGAUGCUAUCAAGUUUUCUGUCGUAUAGAUUUAACUCUUUGACUAUUUUUAUCCGUUAGAUUAUACUAUUAAACUAAUAACUCACUCAACCCUAGAGGGCCCACAUCAUUCUAACCGUAUAUUUUUUCAUCCAAGGGCCGAAAACCUAAUAGCGCUAAUAAUUUGGUGCUAUUGAUAGUAUUCUAGUCUAGUUCCUUAUAUAUAUAUAUAUAUAUAUAUAUAUAUAUAAUAUAAUAUAAUAUAAAAUUUGUUGGCAUUCGGUUAAAUCGAAUCGGGUACGCCCAUAAGCGGGUUCGAUCCGACGGAUGUUAUGUUAUCUAAUUGGAUUGGAAUUAAUCUCGCUUUCAAAUUGGAAAGUAAUUUGAGAUGAAUCCUAGUCAUAUUAGGAUAACAAUUAAUAACCGAUUUGGCCUCAUCUCUAACGCUAUUAGGAUUUUGGAAUCCCUUAUAAAUAUGCGGGCGAUCCCACAUAAAAUAUAGAACGAAAAAGAGAGAAACAAGAACGGAAAAAGAGAGAGAAUAAGAAAAUAAUAGAGAGAAACCGCAUCCUCCAUUGAUCUAUUAUUCUAGAGGGACUUGCACGGUGGAUUUGCGAUCGCGCUCGUUUGUAGUUCGAUCCACCGCGAGUUCGGGGAAUUAGAAGAUUUUCAAGAAAGAUUCAAGGACACGUAAAUCAAUCUAUCCGAUCCGGCUCGAAUCGCUUCCGCAAAAAUGUACGAACCGAUAACUGCCGCUGCGUUCUACAAAAUUAAUUCGGAUUCGGAAUUUGUUCGAGUUCGGAUCAGGUACAGAUAAAAUCUAUAUCUGAAUCCAAAUUCAUCUAGUUUUCGUUUUCUAUAUCAGUAUCUAAUACUAUACACGUUUAGCAUAGGAUAAAUUCACUUUAUUCGGAUAGGUUCGAAUAAAAUUCGGAUAUCCGUAUAUAUUGACAUCUCGAAAUACAAGAAUAUUUUAUAUUUAUAUUCGAAAAUAUGUACGUUCAGCAUAGAAUAAAGAUUUAGAUUUAGAUUUAGAUUCUUGAUAAUAUUAUAGUUAUCCGUACCCAUCCACAUUCCUAAAUACCAGGAUACUUUAUACACGUAACUUUGUUAGUCAUUAAAAAUAUAUUGUACCAUGCAGAUACAUUUAAUUGUCGGUUAGGUUGUUACCAAUCAAUAUGUGUGGUUACGGGGACAGUUAAUUAAAAUUUAGUGGCAAUUAAGUUGGAUAUAUAUUUUGGGGAAUUUAAUUUGCAAAAUUUGUUAAGUAAAAGUACCAAGGAAUGAGAUGCACCAACACACUAUUAUAAAUCAUAUCAUGCAUUGCAUGUGAUCCGUACUCUUGGCUCUGACCCGUGCACCGAUCGUGGUGGGCCCGAUCUAAUUAAGACAAUUAUUGGUCUUUGUCUCAAAUUUUCCACACAACUUUAUCACUACCUUUGGAAAAGUCCCCUGUGUAAUAGUGACACUGUGUAAAAAUAAUAUGAUAUUAUAUAAAAAAAACAGUUUAUGGGAUCAUUGGUGUUGGCCAUUAGUUUUAAAAAUUCAAGUGAUAGAAAUACACCAUCAAUUCAUUCAAAAAUUAUAUAGUUACAUGUAUCUUUAACUGUACUGCAGUGUAAAUUUAUUAUUUGAUUUGGUAUAGUUAAGCUCGACAAUUGCAGUUGCAUUUAUAUAAGAAGGUCCAACUGUUGUAGCUGGUACUGCAACCGUUGGGUCGGCGUUGUCACACCCGUUUAAAUAAAAAAACAACGUGUGAUUUUUUUUCGUUAGCUUCACUUUUAUUUAAUAAUUAAAAAAUUACAUGAUUAUUUUUUAUGUUUAGAGGAGGUAAUAUCACCCUUUUAUUUAAAAAGUAAUAGGAUUCAUAAAUAUAAAUUUCAGCUUCAGUCUACCAAGCAGAAAAAAUAUAAUUCUAUAGAACCAAAUAGAUUGGGUGCAGUUACAGCUAUAAUAUUUGCAACUGCAUAUAUUUUCAACUAUACUGUUUUGACAACUACAUCCAACUAAACGGUCCCUUAAGGCAUACGGAAACAGUGCUUACAGGCUCGUUAAAGUAUCGAGCCGAAAAAUUCAGCUCGUGUUCGGCUCGUUUAUUAACGAGCCGAACACGAGAUGGCUCACGAGCUGGCCAACGAACAAUAAAUUAAAAAGAAUUAGAUUAAAUAUAUAUAAAAAAUAAAUUUAUAAAAUCUUAUCCAUUACUUUGAUCUAAUAAUUGAAACUUUACAUAUAAAUGUGUCUUUUUAUAAUUAAGCUCGCAUUUAUAUUUUUAUUUUGCUAAAAAUUAAAUAAUAAAAAUAUAUAUUAUAUAUAAUUAUUUAUUUAUAUAUAAAAAUAUAAAUUAAAUAAAUUAUAUAAAUAUAAAAUAUAUAUAUUCGAGCUGUGGCCUAUGUAAAUACAUAGGCCACAGAAAUAUAUGUUCUGGGCUAGUGUCGCAAACUAGGGCCUCAGUCCAACAAAUCUNCCGAACACGAGCUGGCUCGCGAACAGCGAGCUGGAUUGCCACCCCUAUUUACAGGUCUCGAUUAUGGCUCGGUACAACCAGCCUUAUGUUCGAACAUGACUUGGCAGAAUUUGGUCUUCCACCAUAGAGCAAGACGCUGGCCACUUUAAGCCAACAAUUAGGACAACAAACGACUAACAUUUAAUAACAUUAUUAUAUUUAAUAAUAAUUUUUAUUUAACUAAUUAAAAUAAUUCAAAGUAAAAGUUAGAAGCUCUAGAGAUAUUAAUUGAAAAAAUUAAAGGUAAAAACUAAAUUUAGUAAAAUUAGCAUGAGAGACAAUGGGAGAGAAUUCAAAAUCAAUUUAAAAUUAAAACUGAAAUUUAAAUUUAAAUUUAUGUUUUAAAUUUGGAAUUCAAAAUCAAAGUUUGAAAAAAAAUAAAAAAAUGGAACUAAAAUCUAAAAUUUAAAUUUAAAUCAAAGCACAAAAUUUGGAUUUAAAAUUCUGAUCCAAAAUUCAAAAUACAAAAAUUCAACUUCACAAUGAGAAUUAAAUUUAAAAUUCAUACCCAAGAUCAAAAUUAGAACUGAAAUUUGAAUUCAAAAAUCUAAUUGUAAAUUUUGAAAUUUGAUUCAAAAUAUAAUUUAACUUUAAAAUUUAAAUUUAAAUAUAAAUUUAUGUUUUGAAUCCCAAACCAAAAAGAAUUAACCUCCCAAAAAUUAAGUUGAGGACCAAAAUUAAAAAAGAUGCUAAAAUUGGAGACUAAAUUGUAAUUAAUCAAAACAAUACAAAAUAUACCCCCAAAAUGGCUGCAGACUUUGCAUCCAUCCACCGACCGUCCCUAGAGCAAGUGACAAAAGGCUUGGUGGUUGGUACUCGAGACUUAAUUUCGAAUCCUAGUUGAUUCACAUUUCCAGCUACGGAUGUCAAUGGGAAUGGAUAUCCGAAAUUUUAUCCGAAUCCGAACCCAAAUGAAACGGAUAUAUCCAGUGGAUAUGGAUAUGGAUUCGGAUAUGGAUAUCAAAAAUAGAAACCCGACGGAUAUAGAUUCGGAUAUGGAUUUUGAUUGUACCCGACCCGAACCCGAACCCGACCCGAACCCGAAUUUAUUUUGUAUUAUAUAUAAUAUAUAUAUAGAAAAAUUUGAUGUUAUAUUUGAAUUUGUAUUUUAAAAAUUUAGGUUUAAUAUAAUAUAUUUUGAAAUAUUGAAAAAAGAAAUAAUUGUUUCGGGUUCAAAUUUUCGGGUUCGGGUUCGGGUUCGGGUUUCGGAUUUUUGGUCGGGUUUGGAUAUGGAUUUUUAAAAUCCGUCGAGUUCGGGUUCAGGUUCGGGUCUCGGGUUUGGAGUCGGGUUCGGGUUCGGGUUUUUAAAAAUCCGCCCCGAAUCCGACCCGUUGACAUCUCUAUUUCCAGCUAAGUUUAUUUUUAAAUGAAAUAACGAAACGGGUAACAUGCUACCUAACUCUCUCUCAAAAAAAAAAAGAAAAAAAGAAAAAAAAAACUUUGCAUCCAUCCCAUCCAAGGGUGAGAUUCACUCUGCUAGUCACAUCAUGUUACUAGUGGAAGAGUAGGAUGUACACCUAUUUUUGGGUGUACACAUAGUUUCUUCCAAAGAGCAAUGCAAACAGGUACAUAUUAAAAUGGGAUGUACAUUUUACACCCACUCCAUUCUAAGAUUAUUUUUGUCACUUUAAUUUUUUCAAAUUUUUCUAAAAAUUAAUUUAAUUUUUGUCAACUUAGAUGUACGGACAUUUUGUUUUUGGGUGUACAAGAAGCAUUUUUUUCUUUCCCAAAUAAUUUUCCUCAUGGGAGCUUCUGCGGUUGAGGCGUGGAAAAAAUGCGUUAAUGCACGAAAUUGUAUUCGGCCGCCCUUCCGAAAUUCACGCACGUUUUGGGCCAUCAAAAGUUGGGCUGACGGCUGCUAAAAGGUCUUCUUUUCGUAAUUUUUUGAAAUGGACUAAUUGCAUACAGCUUUAUGUAAAUAUAUCGAAUAAUAAUAUUCAUAUUUUUUCACUGAUUUAUUACAAUUUAGAGUAAUAUUUAUUUUUUUAACAGAAGAUAGUAAGUAAAAUGAUACGAGUAAAAAUGUCAAUUUUCAACCGUCGUAUUCUUUUUUUUUUACCAUCACUUAUAUUAAUAUAAGAGGGGUAAAAAUAUCAAUUUAUCUCAUUCACUGAAUAGGAUCAAGUAUUUUACCUAUGAUUAACUCUAUUUUUCUAACGGAUCCAAAAAUUCCCAACGGUCUAUCUUUUUCAUUUCUAUCAUCACAAAUAAUAUAAAAGGGGUAAAAAUAUUAAAUUACCUCAUUUACUAAUCAGGGUUAAGUAUUUUACCUAUAGUUAACUAUAUUUUUCUAACGGAUCCUAACAGUAGAGAUAUAUUUGGAAAAGUUAGAACCUUUGCAGGAAUAAAUAUGAAAAAUUAAAUCUUGUAGGAAUGUAUCUGCUAUUCGAUAUGUUUACAAGUAGCUGUAUAAAAUUAAGCUUUUUGAGAAAAAUACUAUAUGUACCCUCUAGGAGGUACAUUUUACAGUACUCUUUAGUCCAAAAAUUUAUAAAAUUUAAAAAUUUUUUAAAAAUUUUUUUAAAAAUUAAUACAGAGCAAUGCUAGGCAGUAGCCAUAAAGUGUAAAUUUUACACUUACAGACAAUUAUUGGUCCCCCUGUUUUAACUUGUUAUGUCAAUUUUUUAUUUUAUUAACACCAAAUUGAAUUUUUAUCGACCCUCGAACUUAGAAGUAUAAGAUUUACACUCCUAUAAAAUGUGUACCACUAGUAUUUAUAAUUAUUGAAGAGAAAUUUUACUUACGCACCUCAAAAGAAGGGUGUAGUUCUGACACCUUCCAUUCUAGAAUUUACAAAAAUUCAAAUAAUUUUUGAUAAAAGUAAAAAAAAUUGAUGUGACAAAUAGAAAGUUAAUAUUUUUUUAAUAAAAUGGGUAUAAAAUGUAUACUCUAGUUUGGAGUGUAUCAGUAGCAAUGCUUAUUUAUGAAAAGUAAAAUUAUAGUGAGACCCCUCAACUAUAUGCUUUUUUAUUUUUUUGAAGCAUGUCUCUCAACUUUAUUUUCUUGGUUGACGAGUCCUGGAAUUUUAUUGUUAUUAUUUUUUCUUGAAAGAAUGAUAGGACGAUAUCGACUUCAUAUAUUUUUAUAGAAAAGAACUUAGCUGGAUAUGCGAAGUAAUUGAAUUUCGAACUUAGAAUCUUAGAUACUAAUUAUUAAGCCAUUUGCUACUUGCGGCAGGGAUGUCGAUAAUUUUUUUUAUUGAAAUAAUUUUAGUUUGGUAGGUUAAAUUUUUUAUUUUGUUUAAUAGAUUUUAUUAGCUAUUAGUCAUUAUUAUUUUAAUUUUAUUCGGUAGAAAGUGAUUAAGGAUUCGUUUAGUACUAAGGGCUGUUUAAUGCUAUUGGAUAAAUAGAAGUUAGAGUAAAAGUAUAUAGCGAUAUGAUUUUUUAUUUUCUAAUAAAAUCGUAUAAAAUUUAUAUUUUAACCAAAUUAUUAUGAUAUGGGAAUAUGAUAUUAUUUGUACAUGAAAAUAAAUUGAAUUUAUUUUACCAUGCUUUUUAACUGCAUGUAACAUAACAUGCAUCCCUCCAAUCUCUAUGAAAUAAGAAAUCAUUAAAUUCGAUGGAACUACCAAUUAUUUUUAUGAAAAUCUUAAUUAGUUAACAAAAAUCUUUCAAGUUUAAAAAAAAUAAAAGUAAAGCCCUCUUUAGCAUCAUUGUUAUUUCUUACAUUCGUUAAAAAACUAAUUUUAUAUAUUUUGACAAACUAAAUAUGGCAAGUUCUUUAAUACUUAUAGGUAAUCUAUUGCCCACUACUCUUUUUAUAGAAAAAUUUAUUUAGAAAAAUAAAAACAAACACGAUACCAAAAAAUGCUAAAGAAAUGGCAGUAAAAACAAUAUUAAUUUGAAGGGAAUAUUUUUUUUGGCUAAAUUACAGAAAACCUCAUUGUAAUAACCCGCUUUUUCAUUUUCCCUCCCUGACAUUUAAAAACCUAUACUUUGCCCCCUUGUAAAAUAAAAAAUGUGCACUUCACCCCCUACCGUUAGGAUUCCGUCAGGAUUCUAUUAAAAAAUAUAUUUUUAUGCCGAAAAUAUCCCUCCGCCAUCUCCUUGUUGCUUCGACUCCCUCCGGCUCGCCACCUCACCGCCGCCUCGCUGCCUCGCCGCCUAGCCGCCUCGCCGUCCUCCACUGCCUCGCCCUCACCCACAUCCCCUUCGCCGUCCUCCGCCGUCUCGCCUUCGCCUUCUUUACCCUUCUCCUACUGUCGCCCACCUCGGUUUUCUCCUACUGUCGCCGAAAUCGAGGGCGGCGAGGGUGCAGGAGGAGAAGGGGAGCAGGUGGAGACGGAAAUGGAGAGAAAUUGCGGCCGAUUGAGAUGGGAAUCACGGUCGAACGAAGGGGCGGCUGAGGAAGAUGGAGAAGAAGACGACAAUAGUGAGGGGCAAAAUGGUCAUUUUACACACCGUAACCCCCCUGUGAACAUUUUUCAUUUUACAGGGGGGCAAAGUGUAGGUUUUUAAAUGUCAGGCGGGGAAAGUGAAAAAGCGGGUUAUUACAGGGGGAUUUUCUGUAAUUUAGCUUUUUUUUUUUUUGAGAGAGAGAAAGAGAUAGGUAGCACGCUAUCCGCUUCGUUUAUUUCAUUUUAAAAUAAAUUUAGCUGAAAAUAUGAAUCAAUUAGAAUUCGAACUUGAGACCUCAGAAAUCAACUUAGGAUUCGUUGAAAUUUUUAAUAUUAUUAAAAAUACAAUACAAGAGACUAACAAACAACAGCUUUUGAACAACGCAGUACAAAAUUUAUACUUUUUUUGAAAUAAACAGAUGGUAUUGCUCUUUCAAAAUUACCAACAGCGCGAGAGGAUCUCCAUUAAAGUGCCGGUACAGGUCGCUUGUCUAUCAUGGAACCGCUGGGACCCACUCUGUGUCGGCUUCUUUAAUGCAAAUUGUUUAGGUCUUGGAUUAAGAGGCUGCUUAGAAUCGAAAAAUCGGAGAGCAAGAAUGAUUUUGCAAUUUUGAUGCUAAAAGGAAAAUCAACUUAUACGACUUUUCCAAGUCAUAAGUUCAACCUUUGAAGUAACAAUUUAAUCUAGUUCAAACAAUAAAGAGAUGGUAAGAGAUUCAGUCAACCAAGUUACAAUUCAUUCAGGAAAAAAUUUUAUGUGUGCCCCAAUAAAAGCAUGUAUUUACAAGAAUACUCCUAUAAAAUUUGAAAUAUUUUAAGUGCCCCUCUAAAUAUAGAACACUUUCAAAAAUAUCCUUCAAAAUACAUUUUUGUUAAAAUCCACAGUAACAGCAACCAAUAUACCGAUUUUACCUUUUUCAUAAUUGCCCUUCUAAAUGUUCCAACUAUUACUAAUGAAGGGUUAAUUUCAUUCAUACCCCUCUAAACGUUCAGAUUAUCAUAAAUAUCCUUAUAAAUUUGAUUAUAUCACAAAUAUUGUUACAAAUACUUACUAUCUUAUAAAUAUGUUCUCGUCGUUAACUUCUGUCUCUCAACCAAACAUCUAUUUUAGAUAGAUUAUCAUGAAUUAGUGAAAAUAUCCAUUUUGUCAUGAAUUUUUUAAAAUUUUUUGAAAGAGCGCUUUAAUGUAAUGAAAUGUACAAUAAAUAAACUUUCAAAACUGUCACUUAUUAGUAAUUAGUUUAGAUAAAGAUACAACUAUUCAAUUUAAAUACUAUUAAAGUAUUAAUAAAAUUCAAUUCACUCUGUUAUUUAGCACAUUUGCACAUCGCCAACCUUGAUUAUAAAAUUUAUCAAAUAAUCUGAGUUUUUUUUUUAAAAUUUUUUGCAAACAAUGUUAAAUCACUUUAUUGUAAUUUCAAAUCUAGUAAGUAAUUUUAUGGUUUAUAAUUAAUGAUAAAACUUUGUAAUUUUUCAGCUAUUUAUUAUUUUCUCUCUCCUUUUUAAAAGAGAUUAGAAAUAUUUAAUUAUAUUGAAUAAGAUAGAAAUAUUAUUCUUUUAUAGUUCGUACAGAAAUCAAUAUAAAAAUCUAACUAAAUAACUUUUAAAUUUGUAAUAAUUUUAAAUUUAUGGAGUAUUUUCAAAAGUUAAAAUUAUUACUAAUAAUUGGAUCAUUUAAAAGGGCGAUUAUGAAAAGGGCAAAAUCGGUAUUUUGAUUGUUAUUACUGUGGAUUUUAACAAAAAUGUGUUUUGAAGGGUAUUUUUGAAAAUUUUCUAUAUUUAGAGGAGCAUUUAGGAUAUUUCAAUUUUUAUAGAAAUAUUCAUAUAAAUACGUACUUUUAGAGGGGUACACAGAAAAUUAUCCCUUCAUUCAAACUCACUGAUAGUUCAAUGACCACCCUGGGUUAUUCAUAAUUCCAAGUGUGGUGAUGGAUGUGACUGAUUAAGUUGCUUUAGUAAAUAGCACACACUAGUGGCAUGGAGAAGAAUAGUAUGGCAAGUAACCUUUACACAAUAGUGUGGUACACUCAAAUUGAAUGGGGGGGCCUAUUAAUUGUUAGGAGACAGGAGGAGGUUUUUGGCGUGUGAGCUUAACUGAGCGGCUCUCCGAUGAUUUUAUUAAAGCUUUGUUUGAUUGGAGAAUAAAUUUUAGAGAAUAAUUUUUUUUUUUAUUCUCAAAAAUAAAAUGCUUUCAAAAUUCAUCCUUCCUCCUUUCCGCAAUCCUCCUCACCGCCUCCCCCUACCCUCCCCACAAUACUCGAAUCACAUGCCUCGAUCGAUCCCUGCCUAUCUCUACAACCCUGUGGUAAUGCUAUUGUUGUUGUCGUCGUCAAAGUGCGCUUCACAAACUCCUCCAGUCUUGUCCACCUCCACUGCCAACGGUUUGCCAGGGAGAGGGGGGGAAGGGGCGGGGGUUGUUUUGGUUUGUUUGUUGCAGAGUAUUUAAAGGGUGGAGUGGAAAGAAAUAGAGGUUUUUGUUGGAUGUGGCCUACAUGAUUUAUUAAAGACGAUCUAUAAAAAUACAGUCGAUCUAUUUAAAUUAAUUUAUAAAAAUACAGUAGAUCUAACGGUUAGGAUGUAUCUGAACAUGUUCUUCAUAGACAGACGUGAUUUAACAUCUCAUAUCAAGUUACAUAUAAAUGUGUAAAAUAUGGAAGUCCCAGUCUAACUCUAAUCUAAUUUUCUGUAAUGGCUCUAUCUCCGGAGAUAAAAAAAUUAAACUUGAAACUUUCCGCUCUCUUGUAGAUCGUGAACGAGGAUGAACCACGGGUAAAAAUCGCCGGCUACAAAUCAGAUACAGAAAGCAAAAUCAUUUUAGUUUCUAAUAAAAUUUCAAUAUGUGGUAUCAGAGCCACAUCUUUUGUCGAAUUUUUAUUUUUUAAAAAAUUUUAUUUAAUUUUUUUUUUAUUAGGAAAAAUAAUGAUAAUAAUAAUCAUAAAGGUUAGCAGCGAUGUCUACCGACCCCACCGAGCCGGUUUUUGGCGGGAUGGCGCAGCCGCGCGCCAGGCGACCCAUAAGGGGCCGCAUUAUUCAGCGCCCUUUGUGGUGCUGCGGGAGACAUCCCCAAGGUGGCAUAAUGCCAUUGAGGUGCUGACACGUGACAACCCAAUGGGUUGCCGUUAGAGUGCCCUAAGAAGGAGGAAUUCUACGCUGCCACACUUACACAACGUCAUCAAUAACAAGCCAAUCAUAUUUUUUUUUUUAAAUAAAAAUACAAUAAAAUAAUUUUUUUAUAAUUAUGAUGGGACAUAUAUCUCAAAGAGGAGAUAUUUGAUUGGCUUGUUGCCACGUCACCAAUAUGCCCCUCGCAUUUUAGAAUUUUUUCCUAAGGAGAGCACGCUUAGUCGGGGCAAGCGGGCAAAGACAACUAAAAAAAAAUUGUUAUUAUUAUUAUGAUUUAAGAAAAGAAUAUAUAAUAUUUAAUAUAUUAAUAAGAGACGAGAAGAGAGAGAGACGACGAAUGCAGAGAGAGAGGAAGAGAGAUUCACGCCCGGGUCCCCUUUGUUAAAAACAUCAGUGAAAACCGUCUGAAAUUUUUUUUUGAAAAGCCUGACCCAAUAUCCAAUCACAACACAGGGAAUCCACUGUUCGCUACACAGAAGUCUCCUGUAAUUUCAACGCGUCACACAAGUACAAAAAGUAACCCAGUACAACAACAACUAAAUGAACAUACAAAUAAAACAAUUAUAUAUCAUACACCAUUCACGACACCAAGGUCACAUUUAAUACUCGAUAUUUUAAACAAUAUAUCCACAUCUAUCAUAAAAUUUUCAAACCAACAGAAACAUUUUAAAACUAAAGCAAAAUCAACAAAAACCUUUUGAAAACUGUUCCUACAACUAAACCUUAUUCUUUAAAAAUCUUACACCAGGGGUAUAAAACCUUUAAUUCACGAAAAUCCAGAAAAUCCAUUUACAUCAACGAAAAAUUCAUAUUUCAAAAUUUAAUAAAAUACUGAACCUGUAAACCUAAACAAUCUACUAUAACAACGAAUACAAAGGUAUACUAAUCCGAAUUAACCUGCGGAAGCCUAUCGCCGCGUACACACUUACCUCACGUCUGCGUCCCAACUACUCAACGGCCCGCGAUACUCUGAAAAAUGUGGCGAGUAGAAACAUUAAACUUCUCCCCUCCCAUGUGUACCUUGCAAGCCGAAAAGGGAGAGUACUCACCGCAUCAAAAAACUAUAAACAACAUGUCAGUGGAAUAAACAAAGUAAUGAGCAGAUAUAAACAUCGAAAACUGAAAGGAAUGAUAAACUAUACGAAUAACACUCGCUAACCUGCUACUGUAAUAUACAGAAAGCAUACAUGAUGUCUACUAUAAUAGCAAGACAACUAACAAUUAAAACUAUAAAAGUAUGCAUCAAUGACUGCUGCUCAUAAGAAUGAUGCUCAACCGGCUCAAAGAAUCCAAAAGUACCCAAUCUAAAACCAAAAUGCAUCUCAUGGUCAGCACCUGGCAACCUCAAGCCAAUGUCCGGAGGUCCACACCGCAACACCUCCCACAGACCACUGCCAGCUCUAACAUGCAUAUAACCCUCUCUAGCGCUCAACGUUCACAAUUCAACCACUUUUCGCAGAAAAAAACAUCCUUGGGGAUCAGAACCCCAGUGUUCGUGAAUGCAACCAGUGCAGCGAUCAAUGCAAUAGCUUCAAUGACAACCGUCGCAAUCACCAGCCGACAACCUGGCCCCCCAGGGCUAUACGACCACUAUAGUCAUCAUGGUAAAACAUCACAAUAACGACACUCAGGCACUAAUGGAACAACUCACACCCUACCAAAAAUAUGAAGAUAACUCGAUCAAAUAGGUAAACACUGUAUUAUAUGCAAGAAUCGAUCAAUCAAGUCAUCCUGAUAACUAAUCUAAACUACUGCGCCAAUACCGACAAUCUACUCCCUCAGGUCCCGACCCAAAGUCAUGGCACACAAAAGUCAAGACACCGAAUAAUCACAAUUAUGGAUACUAAAUUCGACCCGCUAGUCAACAAAUCUCAUAGAGCCAGGAACCGCUCUACUAUAAACAUGACGCCAAGAUCAUGUAGACACAGGCAAAGAUAGAUAACAAAAAAUAUGUAUAACACUUCUAACUCCACUCAGGAUACUAAUCAUCAAAACAAUGAUAUAGAAGAUUAGACAUGGGCGAUGCCAAUAAGCACACUACGCAAUAGUAAUAACAGGAGAACAGGAUAAAGAUUAUCACCUGAGCGUGCACCACUGACUCUGAUCGUCGGAUCGAAGUACCUACUGUACAAUCUGUCGCCACUGUCUCCUGACGCAAAGAAGUCAACCGACCUAGAGCCACUGGUUAUGUCUAACCCUCAACUAAAAACCUAAAAAGCAUAACCACAAGCAAUCCACGGAAUCGUUUCCCAUACAGAUUACCGUACCAGUUCGAAGUCCCGAGAAUGCACCGGGACUCCGCCCGGACCCAAUAAAUAUCCCGGAAGCACCGACUACAUGCCACAGUCAUUCCCGGCAACUAACACUAAUUUUGUGUGACAUGGCAAGCAAACACAAGGAUACACCAAACAACUAUUGUGGAAUAGUUGGGUAUCCGGGUUCCCGGAAUGUCUAUUCGACAACCGAACCGGGAGUUUUUUCUUAUGGGUUCCGCGUGGUUUGGUUUUUUUCAGUAUGUUUGACCUCGCCAUAUGGCCCGUCAUGUCUGAUUCAUGAAAUCGACGCAGUGACGCACCAAUAAGCUCAGAGACUACAACAAUACUCACAAGCACCGUCGAAUAAUCCGUAACCAAAACCGCGUUUUUCGUACAGAUUUGCGACAAACCAUCGAAAUAACAUUCCGAUCUUCGCAAGGUCCUGCUUUGGACAUCAUCCAGUAAGGUCCCACAACUCAACCCAUGACUGCCACACUACAUCUACUAUAAAUCAAAUUGCAUAAAAGCCCUCCAUUACCCGAAAUCGCAUAUUCCAUGUCGCUUUCGAGCUUUUAGGCACGUCUAUCACAAACAGAGCAUGCAGCCAAACCGAACACCUACUGACAUUCUCGACUGCCCGAGCCCGGCUCACCUUCGCACAAUUUCCGACGCACAGGGAAAGCGCACAGCAUGUAACUUCAGCAAACAGCGCCACGUUAUUAUCGCGUCAAACACCAAACGUCGAACCGUUGACCCCGACGAGUGACACGAUGUCCACGAAGUAAGAUCACGUGCUCACUCCCGGAUAACGAGUGUCCUCGAUCACCAGAAAGGUGACUGGAAACCCUAAACAACUAUGCUGGAACAUAACUACCUACCUGGAGCUUGGAGACUGAGGCAAGGCGCGGUGGUUCGGUACGCGGGCGAUCUACCGGGAAGGUCGCAGGUCGCAGGUCCGGCAACGGCGGCUCGCGGAAGGCGCCAGGAGGUGCGACGCCCGAGCAUCAACUCCGCCAUGUUCCUUCUCGGUUCAAAGGCUGCGGCGGUGAUCGGCGGCCGAGACCGGUCAGCGAUGUUCGCGCCGGGCAAGAGCGUGUGCUACCAGUCGUGGCGGCGGCUGACCUUGAAUCCGAGCAGGCACGACCUCAAACCGCUACGGUCUGGCGCUGUGCGGAAGCUCGCGCGGCCGCGGGUCGGGAGCCCGGGGGCGCGCGCCACGGAGCAACGGAGGCUGAGGAAUGACGCGCUGCGGGUCUGAUUUGGCGCGCUCGCGGACCGAGAUCCCUCAUUGCUCGGUCUGGACCGCGGCUUGCCGCAAGCGAGGCGCCGCGUGCGAGCGUCGCGCCGGGCCGCGGGGAACUGCCGGGAUUCCAAAGGGUGGCUGCGCGCGGGAGCCUGCGAGUCACCUCGAUGAGCUCGGUCUCAUGCCAGCAGCAGGUCAGCCAUGGCUUGCGGCGGGCUCUGGGUGCGCGUCGCCGAGCUGGUCGCCGGGCUCCAGGGGAACGCCAAGAGGAAGCAACCUCUGGCUCUGCCCCAAAACCCGAGAUAAAGAAGAAAAGAGAGAUCAGGAGAGGAAGGUGGAGGAAAGCACACCCGCUUUUCCGGCGGCCAGGAGUCCGCACGCCGCAUGGUCGCAGCGCAGCACGGUAGGUAAAGCCUGCUGAACUACCUUAGGCAAUACUGGAAGCUAGUCGGCCGAAACAGGUAUUGUCAUAAAACCCAAGACAUAAAUACCAAUGCGCUUGCACAAAUCUUCCGACCUGGUAUUUCCAACCAUCCCUCACAGCACGAGUAAUCGCUGUACGCACCCCACGUUGAUCCAUGAUUCGGUAAUAAAAUGUCGAACUUUGCGAAAUUACCGUUUUGCAUCGCCGACCUCAUCCUCGAUCCAACGUCGAUCUUCCGAGAUCUCUCUCAGAUUUGCCGAACCGAGCACCAGGCGGUCAGCACCAAACGAACAACAAGCUUACCAUUUUGGUUCACCUCGAACGAUCAAGAUUUAGCGACGAAAUCCGCUUCUCUCAAAAGUCCAAAUGACUCAUAAAUACAUAUAAAACAUGUAUUUUUGGAUUUUCUCGAAAUCCGUGCGUCAAACUCAAAAUCCAUCAGCGCCACUAGUUCCAGAACAGCUGAACCGGUCGAAACGAGCUAUUGGACUGAUAUGAACGGAGUCCGAUACGCACCAGAAGCCAACUCUACUCCGUGGCUUCCCCGGAAAACCGGAGUUACUAUUCACUUAAGUGAAAACUAAUAAUCGCGUAACUUCUCCGUUUAAGCUCAUUUUCUCCUGAAACUUGACGAGUGCUUAUGUCAUUAAAUUACACACAUAAACAUCGUCAACAGAGAGUUUAGUUGCACAGUCAAAAAUCUUAGUCCUUACAGAGAGAGAGCGAGAGAGAGCGAGCAGGGCUGCUGUGCUCCUGAGCCGUUUUCAAUGAUGGAAUUUCCGAAUCGACGAUCGGCUCGGCUAGACUUGAUCUAGCGUAUUUGAGGUUUUUAGAAAAUAAUUUUUGCGAUUUUUCGAUAUCAUUUACCUAAUGAUCGGAAGGAUUCAAAAUCAAUAAUUUUUAAUGGUUGAUAUCUACCGUUUUCAAGUUUAACGGUGUAGAAAUAUUCAAAUCAGAUAAAAUUUUGAUACAAAAUUCUUUAUACUAUCUACAACAAGAUCAAUAUUUAUGAUCGAAAAUUUUAGUGCUAUAUCACCACUUUUUAUAGAAUUUUUAUUUUCGGCCAUUAAAAAUUAUUGAUUUUGUAUCAUUUCGAUUGUUAAGUAAAUAAUAUCGAAAAAUCACAAAAAUUAUUUUCUAGAAACUUCAAAUACGCUAGAUCAAGUUUAGCGGAGCCGAUCGUCGAUUCGGAAAUUCUAUCAUCGAAAAUGGCUCAGGAGCACGGAGGCCUCCGUGCUCCCGAAAGCACAGCAGUUCUGCUAUAUAUAUAUAUAUAUANNNNNNNNNNNNNNNNNNNNNNNNNNNNNNNNNNNNNNNNNNNNNNNNNNNNNNNNNNNNNNNNNNNNNNNNNNNNNNNNNNNNNNNNNNNNNNNNNNNNGGAUCGAGCUAGUGGCGAGACGCGGUUGGGAGGCGACGGGAUUGGAGGUUUCGGUGGCGCCCGUGUGGAAGCCGACGCGGGUUUUCGUUGCGGGCGUUUCAUAUUGGGGUAAGCUUUUGGAUUGGCUUAAUUCCUUAGCUUGUAGGUUCUCAGUGUUAGCUCUAAUGAUCGUUAUUAGCAUAUUUGUCAUUUAAUUGGAUUAUUUGGGGGUAAGGUUGCAUGUUAGGCUCAAAAUGCUAAUUUUGAAAUAUGAAGGGUUUGAUCUAUUUGACCCUCUUUAAACCUAAUUAUAGGUCACUGACCGCGUUGGAAGCGACGGUUCGGCGAUUCGUCGCUGCCGGUUGCGCAAAAGUUAUUGGAAAGAAAACGGACGGUUUUUAGAGGUUGUUUCGGGGCUGGGAGGGCCGAGGGGGGCGACGUGUAAAGAAUUCGUGGGGAGAACGGGAUUUGAAGUCGUAAUAGGAUAACCGAAGGACCUUGAUAUUUCGGGGAUGCGCGACGGAGGUCGUUCGGGUGGGGUCGGCGCGUGAAUAAGGGGGCGAGCGGGCGAGCGCGUGCGCGGUGGAGGGGAGGUCGAUUGCUGGAGUGGACGAUGAGCAAUCGGAGCGCUGUAAAAGAGGUGUGGGGGGUUGUCUAUCGAAGCGAAUCGGGAGCUUCGGGUCGAUGGUGCCGCAGUAAAAAUAGUUGAUUCGAGGUAUUUGAUAUAUUAUGGCGUUUCUUAUGCAUUUAUAGGACGUAUGUGAUAGUUAGUUUUUCUGAUUUCCUUGCAUGGCAUGGUCUAGUUGUGUAGGUAUUUAUUAGAUUGACAACUUAAAAUCUAAGAGUGCAUGAUGAUUCAAGGGUGUUGAGACAUGAGAUCCUAGUGGAUGAUAAGAGAAUAAAUGGACUCGGAGCUGGGUGGAUGCAAAAAUAGUGACAUUCGAAUAUGUAUAGUAGAAAACACUGACUGGACGAGUGGCAUUGUAAACAAUGUUAGUAACAACAUACGAGUGGCAGAUUGGAAUUAGUGUAAGGAAGAAUAAAUUUGUGGGCAUUGAGCUAUAGGGGAAUAGGGUGAGGGUUUUCCCUGGGAGUAAUGGCAGUUAUGCAGUGGAGAAUUAGUGUAUUGGGACACCUAUGGCAUCAAAACAGUAGGGAUAGUUGCAAUUCCUAUGUGAGUUGGAUAAUGUGGUUGGGACACUUGACGAUGGAACUGAGGAUAGGGGGGUGAUUUUCGACGUGGUUUUAACCUAGUUGACAGGGGGGUAAUCUCAGUUGUACGACGAGCGGGGGUAGGCUCAUUGGGUGGGAUGAGAGCGGGGGGGUCGCGGUAGCUCGGCGCCACCCAUGUGGACUGGAGUGGUCGGCGCGAGGGGGGGGGGUUGGGGGAUAGCUCGUCUCCUGUGAGCAUUGAGGGGGUAGCUCGUGUUACUAUGAGCUGGGGGGCUUCGGGGGUAGGCAUCUUUACCAUUUGGCGGGGGUUAGCUCAAUUUACCUCGACGAGCGGGUAGCGGGGGGGGUAGCUUUGACCUGUUUGAGCGGGGGGUGGGUAGCGUCUUUUACUGAUGAGGCGGGGUAGCUCCUUUAGCCUCGAGCGGGGUGAGCUCGUUUACCUGGUUGAGCGGGGGGGUACUCGCGUGUACCUAUGUAGCAGGGGGGUGGGGUAGCUCUUUACGCUACGGAGCGGGUAGGCUCUGUGACCUGACGAGCGGGGGCUAUGCUGGUUGACCUGUUGAGAGGCGCGCGGGGGUAGCUCUCUUAUAUGAGCGGGGCGGGGGUAGCUCAGUUUGACCGACUGGAGCGGGGUAGCUCUUGACUGGUAGCGGGGGGGGGGUAGCCUCUGUUACCUUGGAGCGGGGGGGGUAGUGUGACCUAUGAGCGGGGGGUAGCUCUGCCCUAUGAGUUUGGAGGUUAGAGUGGAUGGCGAGCGGAAAGAGCGGGGUAGGCUAAUCCUAGCAUUUGGUUGAUGAGUUUGGGCGGAGGAGCGGGGUAGAUCUUUUACGCUGAGUAUUGUUAGAGGUUGUGAGGGACGGGUGAGCCAAGGGCGGGGGGUAGUCUGGUCAGCCCAUGGGUGGUCGAGGUCUUAGGCGGGUGGUAGCCUAGUGCGAUUGCGGGGGGGUAAUGACGGUGAAGUGGCUAAGUCGGAUUGUGGCUUCAUGACCCUGAUUAGGACUUAUAUGUUAUGGGAUUGCAUGAAACUGUUUCGUAUUUGUUUCAUGUACAGUUCGUUGAGGCGAUAUUUAUCAGUGGAUGAGGUAGGGCUUAUUGUAUGUUAUAUUUCAUGCAAUUGCUUGCUUGAUGGCAAAGUGGAUCAUAGUUGCAGGUUUCAAUAUUCUCGUUCUAUGUCGUCGUGAUUCUAUCUCAGUCUGUGCCAGGCUUAGACUAUGUGGGAAAUCGGCGGGAGUGUCCGGCGGGCGGAGGGGCUGCGAACCCACUGGGAAACUAUAUUUAUAUAGUUGCUCACCGGUGUGGUUUUGGGGUACAGGUACAACAGCGGCCGGGGAGCGGGUACCGAGGGGGGGGGGGGACGGGGCAGCCCAGUAGAUCGCGGUGAAGGGCGUAGCACCCUAGCUAGCUAGUAGAGCGCUUCCUUUGUACUAGAGCACCUCGUAGUGCGGGUUGGUUAUAGAUGCUGAUGUAUUUUUGGAUAUGCUACGGAUCCAUAUAUAUGUGAUUAUGAUUAUGUAAUUGCAUUUUGGGGAGUGUAAGUGUAGACAAGUGUUGAUUAAAGGGUUGAGUAUGAUGUAAAUGUUGAAUGUUCAAAUGGUGGAUGUAAUAGAUAGUUAUAUCUCUCUUUAAUUUCAUCUUGUUUGUAUGACUUGUGAUGCGCUUGCUUUUGUAAUUGUUCGGCACUUGGUAAAAUGUGCCUUGCCUAUUGUUUUGUCAUGUAUUGUUAUUAAGUUGUUUUCCUGGGAACUGUUGUACAUGAUCUGUGUUUAGCCUUGGGCGGACAUGGAGGUGCUUAUCUUCGGCGUCUGUUCGACGCGCCGGAUCGAACAAAUUAUAGCGUGUCUCGGGGGACGUGACAGAGAUGACAUGAGUGUGGAUGGAAUUUAGUAAAAGUGCAUUGGCUAUGCAUAUGGAAACUUGUAAAAGAAACAUAAGACACUAUGAGUCUAGUGGUAUAUUAAACUUAUGGAUAUAUGAUGGAUGAUACCCUAGAAGGAAUAGGGUAUCUGGAGCGAGAUUGGAUCAAUGUCACGGUCUGUUUUUUUAAAUCUUUGUGAUGCGGAAGCCCGCACACAAGUAGUGCGCUCGGACAGAUAUUCACGUGGGACUUGUUCCGAUUUGGGCCAAGGGAUUGCCUAUUUUAAGGGCCCGCCCAGACGGUUUCUCGGGUGCAGUACGUGCGAGUUGAUCUCUCCUAGUGUCGAAUGGCUAGUGGAGCUGUAGGCGAGCCUUCGGGUAAGCCAUGAGAUGAUGAAUAAAUGAGGUUAGAAUGAACGAUGUGAAUAGCCUUACCUAGUUGGACAUGAUAACAGGUUAGUUGCUUACUUAUUUCAUUGUACAUGCAUUCAUAUAUUAUGAUUGGGAUAGUAGAGUAGCUUUAUCUGUAUUUACGCUUUCCUUAUCUAAUUAUCUUAUGGUUUUUUACUUGUGCCGACGUGGGACUAGUGGAGAGAUCGGCGGAGUCGGCGGUCCGAAACCACUGCGGAACUAAAGGAAAGUUAGUUUCUCACCUCCAUUUUACUUCAGCGAGCGUGCGAGUUCACACGGCGAGGAUCCGGUAAGGGGCCUAGCGCCCUUAAGUUUGCAGUAGUUUAUUCCUAUGCGGCCACUUAGAGUCACCUUUAUUGCAUUGGGAGCAGUAGAAUGAUGUGAUAGGUGUGAGCUAUUCGGGGUAAAGUAAGUAUGUUUAGAUUUGAGAUGUAGCUUUAUAUUAUUAGAAGCGUUAAUGUAUAAUCAAAUUUGUAUUAUAAAGGCUGAAUGAAGUGUAAUAGAUAGAUGUUCUCUUUUAUCUAUACUUUUUAUUGCAGAUACUGUAUCUUGCUCUCGGUAUGCUUGCACUGAUUGUGCUCUCGGUUGCAGUUAUCGAUUGUGUAUGUAUUCAAGUUAUUUUCUUGGCGACUUGUGGUACACAUCUCGUUGUUAGCUUGGGGGACAGGGAGGUGCGGUCCGUCGGCGUAUGUCGACGCGCCGGCCGAGCCAAAUGGUAGCGGUCGCGUGGGCGUGACACCCGCUCACUUUCAUUUAUUACAUUGCCCCGCGGGGGCAUGUUUUGUAUAUGGGAACGGUCCCUGGAUUGGGGACCAGUCCCGUAGGGUCCAGAAUUCAGCCUCUUAAGGAACUUGCAAUUUUCAGGCUUUUUCACGUUUUUCUCCGUUUUUUCGCUGUUUUGACCUGAUCCGAUUCUUUUCAAUCGAACCGAGGACUCUCCCAAACAUGUUCGGAGGUAGUUUUCAUCAUCUUUUAUCCCCUCUAAUGCCGGAUUGGCUCACGCCCACAUGGCCUUUCGGCUCCGUUUUAGCGCCUCUGCGUAUCCGAAAACGCUCGAUGCUUCGCGACUCCCGGGGACCUCACCGAAACGUUCAAUGGUUUCCCAACCAAAUGUACACCGUAACCUCAUAGUUUUAGAAGUCCGGUACCUUACAUCCUCCCCUCCUUAAUAAGAAUUUCGUACGCAUAGGGUUCCAAUUCAUACCUCAACUCGACGUAUCGAGCAACAUAGGGUUCCAAUGCACUUUCAUGCUCCGGAGUAGCCUUUUACUCAUUGGAAUCAUCCAAAGGCCCACGACGGAGGAUGUGAGACUAGAUUUACUCACUUUUGCUAAGCGUAGCUCCGAAAGUGCAUUACGAGUCUCUGUCAUUUUUGGUGGUAGCGCAAGUCGAAGCUCAACGACUCUACGCGCUCCAACACCAUUCACCACUACGCGUGCAAGAGCUCUUUUUUGCAUCUACUUUCGCUCUCAAGGCAUUGCGAUUCGAUCACCAACAUUGCUUAGAAGCAAUAUCAUUGGUGCAUCAACUAAUGACGAGUGCUCCAACUACACCUGGAUCUUUGCUCUAUCGCGAGAUGGCCUACCCCGGCAUAUCUCGAUUCUUAAUCCACAAGAGAGCAUUGUCUACAAUUCCGUGUGGCUAUCCGGUAUUCCAGUGUCUCCAAGUGACCACUUUUCCUUACCUCUCAAUUGCCACUUCUAACCUCAAAUCGCUCUACUACGAGAUGGCCUACCCCGGCACACCUCUCAAACCUCAAUCCAUGAAAGAGCGUUAUUUUCAAGUUCUCCAACUCUUCCAAUAUGACCCAGCCUGCCUGGGCAAUUUUUUUUUUUUUUUUAUGUGCAGAGAGACCAGUCCUCCAGAUGCGGGACCGGUCCCCGAGAGCCUUUAGCCCGAACGCACCUACGGGAAUCGGUCUGCCCUUAGAGGAUCGGUCCCCUGGAGACCGGUCCGUCCACCAGAGACCGGUCCCCGAGAGCUUGCUCUCGCAGGACUAAGCCAAUUUUCUCCUCUCGCUGGUUACGCGUACGGGGACCGGUCCCUCUGGCCCGGGGACCGGUCGCAUCACGCGACCCCGCAACCACCAGCUAUGGGGACCGGUCCUUCCCUGCCAGGGACCGGUCCUCGAGAGCAAAUCUGCCAAGUGCAGACUUUUGUACACUUGCUCUCGCGGAUCCGUUGCAAUGCACUUUUGGUGCAUUUAACUUCUUCGGCUUUUCCAAAGCACUCCCCCUCGACAAUUGGUCGAUUUUGAGCGAAGUCCAACUCUCGUAUUUCGAGAAUUCACUUCCUUACACCAACCCUCACGUGGCUAUUUCUUAUUCAAGUGUCUCCUAGAGAACACUUUACCUUUCUCUUUAUUCUUUACUACCACAAGCCACGUUCAACAUCACAUGAACCCUCCGUUCGUGAAUCCAAGCCCAACUCACUAACAGAGUUGCUGGCCGCACCGAUCAUCGGUUUUCACAGGCGGACCAACAGUCACAAAUACUACAUAGGCCUAGCGCCUAAACCUGUCGCAACUACGCAUAGCGUCUCUCGCUCGGAUCGUAGACCCAAUCAUCAUUGGGCGAAAUUCUCAUUAGAAAAUUCGCACGCACUCCGAACAGGAGCAACCAUGACUCCAAACCACGUCAAGUCCUCGAGUUGGGUCAUAAUCAAACUCUGGGUAUCUCAUCGAUCUCGGGAUCCAAUACGUGGCAUUCCACACUCCCGGGUCUGAGCUCGGACUACCGUCCUGGCCAAAACUGUAAGAAAGUGAAUUCUCAAAAUACGAGAAUUGUACUUCAUCCAGGAUCGACUAAUUGUCGAAAGUAUACCCUUUGUGGGAGUUGAGAAUGUCCCAAACACAAAAAGUGCUUUGGAGUUGAGUCCGCGAGAGCAAACGAUGCAAACUGCAUCGUUGGGCUAAGAUUACUCUCGGGGACCGGUCUCUGGAGGUGAGAGACCGGUUCCCCUGGCUGGGUGUAGCGGGGUUGCGUGAUGCAACCGGUCCCUGGCAGGGAGGGACCGGUUCCCGAACGUGGUCCCAGCGAGAAGUGCCAAAAUUGGCUAAGUCCUGAAAAUCGAGCUCUCGGGGACCGGUCUCUCAGGCGAAGACCGGUCUCCCGAGGACCGGUCUCCCGGGGAGAGACCGGUUCCCGAACGCGUGCGCCCGAGGGAAGCUCUCGGGGACCGGUCCCAAGUCGGGGAGACCGGUCCCUCCGCGCGAAAACUGCCCAGUGAGGGCAGUGCACAGGAGUGAAAGUUGAGGGGCUUUUAUGCAAAAUGGCUUUUAUUUGAGUGGGCUGAGCCCUCUCUCUCCCUCACACUCUCUCAUUUCACUCUCUCUCACUCUCAUUUCUCUCUUGCUCUCUCUCUCUCUAGAAAGGAAAGAAGGAGAAGAAGAACAAGAAGGAGAGGAAGGAAAAGAAGAGGAAGAUAAGGAAGGAGAAGAAGAAGGAGAUCAAGAGGAAGGCUUUGAGCACCUCCAUCUCCCUCUCCUCUUCCCAUUGGUGUAGCUCUUGAGGUAAGCUACUAAACCCUAGCUUCUAGAACUUAGGGUUUUUGGGUUUUAUGCCUUGGAAUGGGUCAAAUGGACCCUAAGCAAGCUUCUAAAUAGAUCAAUCCCAAGAAUCUAGGGAUUUAUGGGGUGGUUUGCUAUAGGUGCAAAUCUAGGGUUCCAAAAUGGGGUUUUUGUAAAAGUAUGAGAUUGAUCUCAUUUGAAGCCUUGGAAACCCUAUUGAUAGGUCCCAAAACGCGGGGGCGAAGUCGAUUUUGGCAUUCGGCGAACCGACGUGAAGUUCUCGGCAAAAUCGGGCCGGGCUAGUGUUGAUUCGGGCGAGGAAGGCUAAAGCCUUUUCGUAGAGCUCGCCGAGAAGGAUUUUCCAAGCCUCUACAUCGAUUAAAGGUGGGGGGUGUCAUCCGAAACUUUCGAACUCCUUUCUAUGUCUUAGAUUGCAUUUAAUCUCAUCUCUUCAUGUUGCAUUGUAGGAUUGCAUAGUAGCUCCAUUCCUUAUGCUUUCUAAUUGAUAACCUAGUGUACUUGGAACGCUUGGUAACUUAGAUAGGUGAGGAUUGGGUCGAGACGUGAAUCCUAUGGUGCGAAAGAAAAGAGAUGAACCCGAUGGGGGUAUUGAUGACAUAGAAAGUAGUGUUAUUGUUAAAGAACAAACGAGUGGCAUCCAAACAUUGAAUGAUAACGAGUGGCAUUAAUGUAGUGUAAAUAACACUAGAGGUCGAUGGACCUAGGGAUAGGUGGAUCCCUUAGAAAAUGCCUUGUGAACAAUGAAUUUAGAAAACUAAAUAGCAUUGCAUGAAUGUCGGGAACCGAUGAUUCCGCGAUAGUCGUUGACCCUAGUGUAGGGCGUCCUCACUUGGAGAGGAUUCGAUUGGGUUAUUGACUCUAGUUGUAGAGCCUCCUCACUUGGAGAGGAUUGGAUUGGGUGUUGACCCUAGUUACAGUGUAUCCUCACAUGGAGAGGAUAGAUCUAGCUCACAGUCUGCGUUUAGGGUGGCAUAGCCAUCCAAUCCCCACAUGGAGGGGAUUGUCGUCGAGUACUCCGGAGUGUCGCGCGACUAGGACCACUUGGAGGUCCGGACCACAUGGAGGUCCGCAGACGGUCCCGGGUUUGGGUGCACUUGGAGCCCCCUCCCCACUUUGGUAUUGAAAGGUGAGUCAUGGGCGAGCCCUAGGGCCUCGCCACAAAUUGGGUAAAUGGAAAGGUUAUUAAUGUCAUUGAACAUUGCUAUUCGAACAUGGAUCGAAUUUGUUAGCAUGGUAGCAAACCUUUAUUAUAUGAUGCAUGCAUUCAUAUUUAUGAUUAUGGGCAUAGUAGCAUAGUUUUCCUACGACCGCAUUACAGCUUUCAGAUACAUAUCUAUCUAUCUAUCUAUCUAUCUAUCCGUUGUUACUUGUGCCCACUUGGACCUAGUGGGGAGAUCGGCAGAGUCGGCGGCCGAGCCCACUGGGAACUAUGGAAGAUAGUUCUCACCCCACUCUAUUUCCAGUGGUAGGUUCAGGGCUGCAGAGAGAGGACCGCGGCAAGGGCGUCGCGCCCGACCAGUGAGACCGUGGUAGUAUAGUAGCUUUCCCUUUUGCAUUAGUCACCUAUGUAUAAAGAGAGAUUUAUUGUAGGUGAGGAUUUGGAGAGCUAUAUAUUUUGGAUGAAAAAUGAUGUAAAGAAUGCAACUAUUGUAAUAGUUAGUAAAGUACUCUCUUUAUUUCACUCGUAUAUCUUGUGGAUUACCUGCUCUUCUUGUUGUUGGCACUGUUUGUGCCCUCGUUGAAUGUGUAUGUUUAGAAUUUAAAGUCCUGGGUAAAUUCUUGUACACAUUCCUGUCGUUGAGCCUUGGGCGGACAAGGGAGGUGCUGUCCGUUCGGCGGUCCAUCGCCGCGGCCGAAUCGUGCCAAAUUGGUAGUGGUUUCCGGGCGGGGCGUGACAAAAACCCUGCCCUACCCGUAGGCACCGGGCCGCUAUCACUCACAGCUAACUGCGCCUGCCCAAAGGGCCCAAGCUCCACAAAUGGUCCAGGCACGGAUCGUCCCCAAGUGAUACCCACCGUCGUCGUCCUACACGACAUACUCUAUCGAGCUAUAAGUACCAUUAUCGGCUCCUAAGCACCUAGUGCGAGCCGCCAGCCUUACGAGUUCCAUGGCUCGCUUCACACUUAGCAAUGCUGAAGUGCUACUGCCAUCACACUCUCUCGGCUGAAUCAAAUCCGCACUCUACCAGUGUCUACACUCGAGCGCUCUAUACGCCAUACUCUAAGUCCAGCAUUAGGCAACCUUGCCUAUGCACACCGGCCACACGGGCACGAUUCGCCCACCUCAAUUCGAGGCACUACUAGGCCCACGUGCCUAUACUUGGCCAAUAACUGAUCGCUCUACCACGAGUCUCACUUUUCGUCCAACAAUCAUCACCAACAUUUUGCUAGUGCUAUCUAGCUCUCUACCUGCUCCAGCAGGCGCCACACUCUCACCACAUAAGUAUGCUCGGGUAUCUACACCAACCCGUUCACUUGGUCCCUACUAUACCAAUGCACAAAUAGUAGCGAACGACUACAAGGUAAAUGCAUGCAAGUUCCUAAGUCUACAUCAUGCAGAAGCGUAUGAUUGCUUUAAUUAACUCAUACCUGGCACAAUGUCACGCUCCUCGACCCCAGCAGGUCGCUCCACUUGAGCGGCAAACACUCGACUACUCGGAGCCGACCGGGUCACCUCAAGCUGAUGCGGCGCCAUCGCACGUCUCGUGGAUACGGCAGCAGGCGGAACUCCACCAAACUGCCUCGGAGCCGCCGGGGCGGAUGCUGCAGUCGGGGCAGGCGACAAUCCCUUUGGGCACUGACGGCUAAUAUGCCCCGCCUGACCACACCUGAAGCACCGUCCAGCCUUAUGCUCACAGUUUCCUGCGCGAUGCUCCCCACCGCAGAUCACACAUCGCAGGGGUCCCUGGCUCUCGAACUGCCUACUCGGGUACUUCGGGGGCUUCUUGGAACUCGACUGUGCCCCCGAGCUACCGCCAGGUCGUUUCUUUCUCUUGUCCUUCUCGGACGCCUCGCGCUCCUCUCGCACGUGGGCAUCACCAUGCUCUGCCCACAGCGCCUUAUUGAAAACCUCGGCAAAAGUCGUGAGCUGGAAUAAUUGCACUGCCCGAUAUAUCCAUGGCCGAAGUCCCUGCAAGAACCAUUCGGCCCUGUCCCCGUCAUCCUUGACCACGUUUGGGACACAGUCUAUGAUAUGGGAGAGCUCCUGCUCGUAGUCCGCUACGGAACGAUCCCCCUGUCUCAGUUUGCGGAACUUCUCCUUUAACUUCCGCUUCUCGGUGUCGGGGAAGUAAUUUCCAAAUAUUUCCCUCUUGAACUCCUCCCAUAACAUAGGUAGAAGGUCAGAAGGCCGAUCUCGCUUCACCCGCUUCGACCACACCUUCGCCGCUUUCCCAAGGCAAUGGGUGGCGAGAUACACCUUGUCUUUCUCCGAGGUAUAGAGAUCCUCAAAAAGUGUCUCCAUUGAGUCAAUCCAUGACUCCACCAUCGACGGCUCCACUUUCUCCCCUUCAAAGAUUGGUGGGUCGAACUUCUUGAAUCUGAUAAGAGCCGUCAACGAACGCUCUCGCUCUAUCUCCUCGGCCACCGCAUCGGGUAUUGCCGGACCCGAAGCCGCCGGAGGAACACUUGCUGGCGGGGGAUGCGCCGCCGCCGGAGCUGCCGCAAUGCCCACACCCUCAGCCGCAUUAGGCGCGCGAGCCGAGGGCACGGGGGGACCACGGCCUUCAACUGUCGUCGCGGCCGCCGCCGCCACCUGCUGCUCCAAAAGUUCCUGGAGCCGCUCGACCUGGCUGGUUAGAGCGGUAACUUGCGCUCGUAACUCCUGCACCUCACUAGACCCAGCUUGCUCUGGCAGCUCAGGAGGCGGUGCCGGAACGGGUCUACGUGCGUAGCGUCUCGGGGACAUCAGCUCCUGAAACGCAAACAUUUGGUUAAUCAUCUUAACCCGCUAACUUCGCCACAAUUGCGAAACAACGCGACUCAAUAGCACAAAUCAGGCGGAAGCACACAAGUGUACUUGUUCUAAACCCUUAGCGUUGUGUUGUCGGCCGCCCAACACAACCACUUCAAGCCAAGAACUCAUACCACUUGAAUCCAUCUCUAACACCCAUUAGAGACAUACUAUCAAAUUCAACCCAAUCGAUCAACUUCCGCCACCCACAUAGGUUCACGUCUCACUCACGCGCCUAUAGCCCUAAGGUUUACCAUCCUAGGGUCUCCUAGGUCCAUUCUAGACUCUCUCUUUGCUUGCUCUUAACUCGCUCUGAUACCAUUUUAUCUGUCACGCCCCGAGACCGCUACCAAUUUGGUCCGAUCCGGGCGCGUCGAACAGACGCCGGACGGACAGCACCUCCUUUGUCCACCCAAGGCUAAACAACAGGAUCAUGUACAACAAGUUCCCAGGAAAUCAACUUGAAUACAUACAUGAUCAAAACAAUAGCGAGGGCACAACCAGUGUCGAACAUUACAAGAGCAAGCAUCACAAGUAUAAACAAGUGAAUAAAAGAGAGAUAUAACUAUCUAUUACAUCACAUUUGACAUUCAACAUUUAAUACAACUUGGUUACAUUUAAGCUUCCAAAAUGAAUACAUAAUCAUAUCACAUAUAUAUAAUGCUAGCUAUCCAAAAUACAUCAUGUCAUCUAUAACCAUGCACACGAGGGUGCUCUAGUACAAUAGGAAAGCUCUACUAGCUAGCUAGGGCGCUACGCCCUUACCGCGAUCACCUGCCGGUCCGCUCACGUGUGUACCUGUACCCCAAAACCACACGGGGUGAGAACUAUAAAAAUAUAGUUCCCAGUGGGUUCGGCCGCCGACUCCGCCGAUCUUCCCACUAGGUCUAAGCUGGCACAGAUAGAUAGAUAGAUAGAUAGAUAGAUAGAUAGAUAUUGAACUGCAACUAUGAUCUAUUGUGCCAUCAAAUGCAAGCAAUGCAUGAAGUGUCAACUAGCAAUAAGCCUACUAUCAUGAUAAUAUGCUUCAACGAUGUAAUGAAUACAAAUACGACACAGUUAUGCAAUCCACUAACAUACGCUAUGUCUAAUCAGGGUAUGAAUGCAAAUCUACUUAUGCUAUUCAUGUCAUUUCCCAAUCCACUAGGCUACCCCGCCUAAGAUAUCAAAUCUCAUAGGUACUCACACCACAAUCUAGUAGGUGAAGAGGUGAAGAGCUACCCCGCUCUUCGCCCUGACUGAUUAUCUCAAAUCUCAUAGGUGAGGAGCUACCCUGCUCUUAUCUCACCCGUCUCACAUCUCAAAGGUCAUAGAUGAAGAGCUACCCAACUCUAAUCUCAUAGAUAUUGAGCUGCCCCGCUCAAUCUCAUAGGGGAAAGGCUACCCCGCCCUUCGCCCCAACUCACGUCCCAGUCCAAUGGGUGAGGAGCUACCCCGCUCGUAUCCCACCCGAUGAGCUACCCCGCUCGUGAGCUAUCCCGCUCGUGUGACAACUCUGGCAAUGGGUGAGGAGCUACCCCGCUCGUAUCCUACCCGGUGAGCUACCUUGCUCGUGAGCUACCCCGCUCGUGUGACAACUCCGGAGUGCACUGCUUGUGGGGAGCGACCGCCACAAGCCCAAAACAGACUAUGUGAGUAUGAUCCAAUCCUCGCCAACUGAGGAUACCCUGUCAACUAGGUUAACCAUCACUUGAUAAUCCACCUAUCCCUAGGUCCAUGUCAAGUGUCUCAACCACACUAAAUCUCGAUGUCACUUACCUAGGUCUAAUCAACUCUAGGUUCCACAACACUAGGUUUAAUGUCAACCUAUGUUUAACAACAUUAUGUUAAUGCCACUCGAUCUAUCCUAGGUUCACGACACUAGGUUUAGAUGCCACAUGCCUCAUAAUCUCCAAACUUUAACAAUAGGUUAACAUUCAUUUUCAUCUAGCAUAUAUGUCCUAUAAAGCCAACAUGCAUCAUACAUCUAGUAUACAUCUUCAUAAUGCUAAUAUGCCAUUAUCAACUAGCAUGCAAUCCAUUCAUAAUGCUACAUGCAUACAAUUUCCAUUACACUAGUUCACAUGUCACUAGUUUCAUUAUCAAGUCCAAGUUCUUUAUUUUCUUUUCAUUAUAGGAUCUCAUGUCUAAACCUUAGUCCUCAUGCAUUCUAGAUUUAGGUGUCAAGUACAUAAUACUACACAACUAGACAUGCAUUCAAGGAAAGUAGAAAUAUAAUAAUACAUACAUCCUAUAGUGCGUAAGAAACAUAUGUGCAAUAUGGCCAAAGAUCUAACUCGGACAUAGAAGGAAGCCCGAUUGCUUCGGAUAGACACCCCCCACCUUUAGGUGAUGCCACGAGCCCACGAUUCCGAUUUCGCGAUUUUAGGAAGCUUUCGCCGCGAGCUGCGGCAAUCUGUACCUCAACAAGCCUUUUCUUCAAUAUCUUUGCACCCGCUCGACGAAUCGACGAACCGACUUCGCCAACGCGUCGGAAUACCUAGCAAUUAGGUUUACAGAGGGUCAAAUGAGAUCAAACUCCUAUAUUUACAAAAAUCCCAUUUUGGAGCCCUAGGUUCCAACUAAGUAAAAAUCCACCAUUUGAACUCUAGAUUCAAGCAUUAAACAUCUAUUAAGCUUGCUAGAAUUGCAUCUAAACCAUCCUUAGGGUGCAUAAACCAAACCCUAAGAAGUUACCAUUAGAGCCCUAGAAGCUUACCUCUCUAGGUUUGCUCCAAGGUUGAGAGGAAGAAGAAGAUGAUGAUGGUGGUGGUGAUUCUCUUCUCCUCCUUCUUCCUUCUCUUUCCUUUCUUCUCUUCUUUUCCCUUUCUUCUUUUUUCUCCUCUUCUUCUUCUUCACGUUAAGAGAGAGAGAGAGGUGGUGUUGGAGUGAGGGAAAUGAGAGAAAGAGAGAAAGAACCCUCUCUAUACACUCUCAUAAUGCCCAAAAUGCAAUUAGGCCUUCAAAUAAAAUUAUUACAUUGCCCCCGCGGGCCAUUUUGUAUAGGGGACCGGUCCGUGGACUUUGGGUGACCGUCUCGCGAGGUCUCAGAUUCCAGCCUUUAAGGACUUUAGCCAAAUUUUCAGCUUUUCACCGUUUCUUCUCCGUUUUCGGCGAUUCGUUUGACCUCUGAUUCUUUAAAUCGGAACCGGACUCUCCAAACAUGUUUUCGGAGCGUACUUUUCCAUUUAUCUCUUCAUAUUCGCUAUGCGGGGAUUUGCCAUACAGCCCACAAUGCCUUUCUGGUCUCCGUUUUUAGUGCCUACGCGUACUAAAACGUCCCGAAUGCUUCUGACCCACCGGGACUCACACCGAAAUCGUCAAAUGUCUUCGCAACCAAAUGUAGCACGUGAACCAUCAAUAGUUUUGAAGUUCGGUACGUUACAUAUAUAGAGUAGGGUCUUUAUGUGCUAUAGAGGCAUGAGGCCUCCGUUCCUAAUAGCACAGAAGAACCUACUAUAUAUAUAUAUAUAUAAUAUACAUUAUAUAUAUGGUAUAUAUAUAUAUAUAUUAAUAUAUAUUAUAUAUACUAUAUAUAUAUAUAUCACGCCCCGACCGCUACCAUUUGUCGAUUCGGAGCGCUUCGAACAUGACCCGAACGACAAGCACUCUCCUGUCCGCGCAGUCCAAAAACACAGAUCUAUCGUACAGAUUAAGCGCCCAGCGGAAUGCUAAUUACAGUACAUGAUCGAUACGAUACCACAAGUGCAGCAAUAGCUAAGGCAAGAAAACCACGAGUGAAAUACAAGGUGUAUAAAGGCAGUAAUCUAGCUAAUUCAACCAUUCAACAUUUACAUCAUUUGAAUAUAUUACAUUUCUAUCUUCCACAUGUAAGUUACAUGUCUCAAAAAUACAUCAUGGCUUCCCAUAUCCUAUCCAAAAACAGCUAGACACGAGGGUACUCUAAUGCAUAAGGAAGCUAUAACGGUGCGUAUAUCUAGCUCACUGUAGGGUGCUAUGCCUUGCGGAUCCUCGCCCGCUCGCCUCUGUGUGUAACCUGUACCCCAAAUACCAAACGGGGUGAGAAAUUAUAUAAAUAUAGUUUCCCAGUGGUUCGGCGCAGACGAGAGCCGCGGUUUUCCCACUAGUCUAAGCGGCACAGAUAGAGCGAAAUAGUAUAGAUUAUAUAGAACCGAACUGCAAGUAAUCUUAUCAUUGGCCAUCAAUGAUAAUUAAUUGUAUGCAACAACUACUAUCCAUGCUAGUAGCAUGUCAUCCGAGUAUAAUAAAGUGCAUAGCAUGUAAUCUACAACAUACCUAUGUCUAACUCAAAGGUAAUAAUGCUAAGUUACCUAUGCAUGUUCAUGUUUAUACCAUCUACUUGGUUGACCAGCCGAUAGGUUAACCCUCGCUGGACACUCUCAAUCUAAUAGGUGAGGAGAAGCUCGCGCUCGCACACCGAGACCAGUCUGCGGGACACUACAUUCUGCCGCUAGUGAGUACUUCCGAGACUCGUGCUUCGAUGGAGCGACCACCGACAGCAAAAGCAGACUAGUGAGUAUAUCAAUCCUCUCAAGAGGAUACGCUGUUACUAGGGUCAAUGUGCCUCUGCUGCAAACAGUCAUGAUAUAUAAAUCAAUGUGGGACUCUACUUAUCCCUAGGUUUCAUGUCAGUUUACUACACUAGACUCAAAUCAAGCGUUCGAUCAUUGUAGUAAGUUUCUACUAGUUGACCAUGUCCACCGUUCAAGGUUUGUGUCUCUACUACACUAUUCAAUACCACUCUACAGCUGAUGUCCAAGUUCGGCUUCUUAUCCGGUAUAGGAUUCUAUCCAUAAGACCCAAUCCCUCAUGCUACGUAAUCCUAGGUGUUCAAAUCGAUAAGUAAACUACUUAAGAAGCAUGCAAGAAAUAAGGCAAUAUACAUUUAUUAAUCCUAGUAAUGCAAUUGAUGAUCAACAAUAUGUAUUAGACUAAAAAGAAACGUCCGAUGUUCCCGGACGACACCCACCCCCCACCUCAUUGAGGGUAUGAAGGCUCUAGAAAUGUGGGCCUCCGUCUUUACGACGAAGCCCUCGGUCUCUUGUCCAAAGCGAUGCUCACCGGUCCUUAUUUGCCGAUGCUCUUGACUCGCUCGACGAAUCGAAUUUCCGACUUCGCCCACCGCGGUUUCGUUACCCCUCAAUUAGGUUAAAGGCUCAAAUGAGAUCAAUCCAUACUUUACCGAACCGUGCUCGUUCUAUUGUUGGUGCCGCUAGGGUUAGCAUGGAUCAAAAGCUAAACCAUCUCAAAAGCCUAGAUUCUAGCUCUAUUCCUUCCAUUUCAUGGUGUUAGGGAUCCAUCAUUGAUCGCAUCCAAAGAGCAAACCCAAAAAACGCCCAAUCUCGCAAGCUAGGGUUAUAAGCUUUACCUCUAGGUUAGCUGUAAAAGAAGAGAAAAGGAUGUGAGGGAGACGUCUCAAGCUUCCUUUUGAUUGAUCUUACCUCUUCUUCUUCUCCUUCAUUUUCUUCCUUCUUUUCCUUCUCGCUUUCUUCUCUUCUCUUUCUACCUUCUCUUUAUCUUCUAAGAGAAGAGAAAGAGGCAAGAGAGAGUGUGAGGGAGAGAGGGAAAUGAGAGCUGAGGGAGAGAGAGGGGUCCCCAUGCCUCAUAUUGUACCAAUAUCCCAAUAUGCCGCCUCACCGUUUACUUUGUGCACUGCCCUUACGUGGGCGUUCUCUGCGCGCGAGGACGGUCUCCCCCGACUUGGGACCGGCCCCGAGAUGCUUCAGCUCGGUCACUGCGUUCGGGUACCGGUCUUUCCCAGAGAGACGGCUCCUCGGAGACGGUUCCCUCCCUAAGAGCCGGUUCCCCGAAAUUGAAUCUCAGGACUUAGCCGCAAUUUUUUGGCUUUCCUCAGUAAAGGAUCGCGUUCGAAGGAAAACGUUCCCCUCCAGGGACCCGGUUGCUCCACAACCCAGCGACAUCAGCUGAUGAGACGGAUUCCUCCUGCCAGGGACCGUCCGGAGAGCCAAUUUGCUCCAGUGCACAGUUUUGGCAAACGUUUAUUGCUUCUCAUGGACUCAUUCCAAUACGACCUUUGGUGAUUUACAUCUUUUGCUUUUCAAAGCUUACCGAACCCCGACCCUUGGUGAUUUCUAACAUGAAGUCAACUCUCGAUUUCGAGAAUUCAUUCCUCACAAUAUAUAUUAUAUAUAUAUUAUAUAUAGUAUAUAUAUAUAUAUAUAUAUAUAGUAAGGCUUAUGUGCUAAUUAGGAGCAUGAGCCUCUGUGCUCCUAAGCCGUUCGAUCAUGGAGCUUGCUGAAUCCGACCGAUCGCUCCGUUAGACUUGAUAUAGCGUAUUUGAAAUCUCUAGAAAAUAAAUUUUCUGAUUUUUCGAUAUCAUUUACCUAGCAGUCGAAAGGGUUCAAAAUCAAUGGUUAAAAAUAAAAAUCUCAAAAAAAAUGGUGAUAUAGCACUAAAAUUUUCGAUCAGAGAUAUUGAUCUUGCUAUAAAUAGCAUAAAAAAUUUCUAUCAAAAUUUUAUCUGAUUUGAAUACUUCUACACCGUUAAACUUGCAAAUGGUAUACAUCAACUAUUAAAAAUUGUUGAUUUUGUACCCUUUUGAUCGUUAGGUAAAUGAUAUCGAAAAAUCGCAAAAUUUAUUUUCUAGAUAUUUCAAAUACGCUAGAUCAAGUCUAACGGAGCCGAUCGUUGAUACGGAAGCUCCAUGAUUGAAACGGCUUAGGAGCAUAGAGGGCUCCGUGCUCCUAAUAGCACACAAAACCAACUAUAUAUAUAUAUAUAUAUUAAACGGGCCGUUUUACUACCGAUUUGUUUUCGAUGAUAGAGCUUCCAAAUUGACAAUCGGCUCCAUUAAAUAUGAUCUAAACCAUUUAAACUACCUAGAAAUCAAAUUUCACGCACUUUCGAUAUUGUUCUUUUAUCCAUCAAGUGAAUAGAAAAAUGAAUGGCUGAAAAUGAAUACUCUUUAAAAAAUGAUGAUAGGAGUCUUGUAAUCAAGAUCAAGAGUAUAGAUCUUGUUAUAAAUAGUUUAAAGAAUUUUCUAACAAAAAUUCAAUUGAUUUGGAUAUCUUUACGCCGUUAAGCGAGAAAACGCCUCUUAUCGACCAUUAAAAUUACAAAUUUUGAAACCCUUUGAUCAUUAGGCAAAUGAUAUUGAAAAGAUUUGAAAUUUGAUUUCUAAACACUUCAAAUGGUAUAGAUCAUGUUCAUAUAUAUAUAUAUAUAUAUAUAUAUCUCAAAACAAUCUUAUGAUAGCCAUCAUUUGCCCGGCAAAAUGAUGGCUAAACAAAAGCUACUAUCUCGAAGGUUUAACUGCUAGCCGAGGCAANNNNNNNNNNNNNNNNNNNNNNNNNNNNNNNNNNNNNNNNNNNNNNNNNNNNNNNNNNNNNNNNNNNNNNNNNNNNNNNNNNNNNNNNNNNNNNNNNNNNNNNNNNNNNNNNNNNNNNNNNNNNNNNNNNNNNNNNNNNNNNNNNNNNNNNNNNNNNNNNNNNNNNNNNNNNNNNNNNNNNNNNNNNNNNNNNNNNNNNNNNNNNNNNNNNNNNNNNNNNNNNNNNNNNNNNNNNNNNNNNNNNNNNNNNNNNNNNNNNNNNNNNNNNNNNNNNNNNNNNNNNNNNNNNNNNNNNNNNNNNNNNNNNNNNNNNNNNNNNNNNNNNNNNNNNNNNNNNNNNNNNNNNNNNNNNNNNNNNNNNNNNNNNNNNNNNNNNNNNNNNNNNNNNNNNNNNNNNNNNNNNNNNNNNNNNNNNNNNNNNNNNNNNNNNNNNNNNNNNNNNNNNNNNNNNNNNACACCUCGUUUAAAAGCGGUGUUUUUCAUGUAUAAAACACUCUAUAGCUUAAAGCUGCUAUAACCGAUUGAAACCGGUUUACCUGGUUUCACCCGCUAACUUGCCAACCCUGUUCAAGGUAAGCCAUAAGGUUGUUCAAACCUUCUCAUUUUUACUAAAGGUUUCCACAACCUUACCAAAACUGUAGCUAGCCGCGCUUCAUCUCGGCUUUGCUUCACUUUUGUCGUAAGACCUCGAGAGCCCAAACUCCGACGGUCCGGAACAUGGCCUUGUUCCCCCGAACAUGCCCAUGUUCGUGACGCGUUGGCUCUUUGGCUCGAGAGCCAAAACCCCCGACGGUCCGGAGCAUGGCCUUGUUCCCCCGAACAUGGCCAUGUUCGUGACGCGUUGGCUCUUUGGCUCGGAGCCCAACCCGACAGACGGUCCGGAACAUGGCCAUGUUCUUAGACACAUGGCCAUGUUCCCUGGGCUUUUACACCUAAACCAACCUUUUAAUCAAAAAACUCCCCUGAAAACCCAAAACAAUGUUAUCUCUUGAAUUUGGGGAGAGAGAGUCGGAGAGUGGGAGAGUGAGAGGAGUCGAGUGAGAGAGAGAUGUGAGAGAAAGAACAGUAUUCUUGUAGUGAUAGUUUGAAUAAGCUAAAAAGUAUAAUUAAUAUUCUUUUAAAUAACAUCAAGCAGAAAAUUAGAAAUGACAUCUUCUCUGCAUCAUUGAUCCAAUAGCCAUCUUCUGUGCAUCAUUGAUGUCAAUAUUCUCGCUGCAUUAUGUAUCUUGAUGUUAAAGAAGGCUGCAGUAAAUGCCAAGAAAAUCAUAAAUUAUUUGGACUUAUAAAAAUUUGUAUGAAAAUUGUUAUUGCUAAAUAAUUUUUACGUGCCUCCUUUUGAUCUCCUCAAGUUCAGCAAUUUGUGGAUUGAUAAGUAUCUUCGUUGCGAAACUUGUUGACAAACAAACCCCUGAAAAAAAAAUAUUGAGUUAUAAUCAAAUAAUAAAUAUAUUAUAAUGUAUUAUUUAAAUAUAUAUAGAAAUGUACCUUUACGGAAAUCUACGUGCAGUGCAGUUGCAACUAUUAUAAGUUUUUUUUGUACUGCAUCUUUCCACAUGCCUAUUCGGGUUGUGACAAGACUAUCCCACAAUGUUAAUCUAACGAACCAACGGCUGCAUAAUUAAAUAAAAAUAAAAUAUUUUUUAGUAAAUAAUAUUUUGAAAUAUAAUACUUUUUUUUUCUCAAAUAUCUUCUAAAAAGUUAAAGAAUAACAUACGAUUUAUUCAUAAUUAUAAUCUCUCUUUUUGGACGAUUGCCAUCGCGUCCUUUUAUAAACUCUGCCUUCUCCACAUGAACUAUCAUUCCUGCAACAUCUAUGACAAAAAAGAAAUUAUUAUUUCAAAUUAAGAUUUUUUAUUAAAAAUACUAAAUAAGAAUAGUGAAUAACAUACCAAUCAGAACUUUAUUGUUGAUGAGUUUACCCAAUUUCUCCAAAGCAACAAAUGAGUAUGCAUAAUUUGGAAAUUUUGCGAAACCUUCUGUAACUUCCUCAACUUUUGUAGCACUUGUGAUUACACAUUCGUAGUCAUUUGCUGUAAUUUUUAGUCCCGCAGUUGUAAGACGUACUCUUAUAUUAAAAAAUGUGUAGAUUUUACCCUCAAAAAUAAUUUUGUCAAGUCUUCCAACGUCAUUCCCGUAUACAAAUCCCUGAAUUUUAUAUCCCUAUAAUGAAAAUAAGAAAUAUAACAAUUAGAAUAUAUGGUUAACAUAUAAUUAAAGAUUAAUAUGAAAUUACGUACAUUUUCAUCAAGAAGUAAAAGUUGAAGCCGUUGUCUUUUUGUUCCAGGAUAUUCGAUAUCACACUUUAAAAGUAGCCUUACUCUUAUGUUGAACUGAUGCCGAUAAGGAUGUAGAAAAUGGAUUGGUGUGUAGUAAACAAUACUCAUCCUGUAAAAAACAAAAAAACAAUAAAAGUAAAAUUAAAAUUUAUAUAAUUAUAUGAAUAUAUGAGCAACAAAAUUUAAUAAUUAAGGUAUUCAAUUCAUUUAAGUGCAAUAAUUACCUUGAUUGGAUGCAAGAACCUCUUUAAAAACAAUAUUUUUUGUAUAGACUCCUUCGUGAUCCAUUUUUUCAUGUGGUUUUACUAAAAUUUUUGUAGUACUGCGCGAUAUCCCUCUAGAUAAAGCUACAUACAACUGACCGUGUGAAAACACUGGUUCCGGAAGAUAUACUCCGACAUUUGGAAUUGUUUGUCCUUGUGCUUUAUUUAUUGUCAUAGCAAAGCUCAAACGUACUGGAAAUUGUUUUCUUUUAAAUCUAAAAGGAAGAUUGUCAUCUUCUGAAGGACAUAAUGGAAUUCUUGGUAAAAAGACCCUUUUUCCACUGUGUUGCCCAUAAGCGAUCUCAGCAUCAAUUGCAUUUUUUUGGAACGCCUUACAAAUCAAUCUUGUUCCAUUACAUAAACCAUUUAUCGGAUCGAUGUUUCGCAAAAGGAUAAUAGGACAAUUAAUUUUAAGUGUAAGCUUAUGAGGUGGUAAACCACUUGGCAUCAGUGAAUUCAAAAAUUCUGUCGGAUAGUGAUUGUGAGUAUCGUCGUCAGCAACAUCAUAACUGUAAUAAACAAAUUCCGAUCCAGGAAAAUUCCGUAUUAAUUCAUUGUUUAUAUCAUCGACGUAUUCAUUCUUAGUUGAAAGUAUAGCUCGGCUUAUAAUAUAAGAAGAUAAAUUGGCAUUUUCUUUAAGAGAUGGGAAUACUGUGUCGAUUAACUCCUUUUUUGAACGCUCAUUAUCCGUAUACUUGAUCACCAUAUCAUUAGGAAGCUGAAUAUAGUCACCACAAAUAGUUUUUUCAACUCCAUCUCCAAUUCUUAAUAGAUACUGUGAAAACCACGGAUCCGACUUUGCUCUCAUAUUUUGAAUCAGUUCGAAUUUUUUUAGCGAAGGCCAAAUAUAAGAUGCCCUUAAACUGGAUUCAAUAAUCUCUGCUUUUGUCCCACGUCUUAUGACAGGAAGGACUUGUCUAAAGUCCCCUCCAAAUACCAUAAUCUUUCCGCCAAAUGGUGAAGUGCAUCCUAUUAUAUCUUGCAAUGUCCGAUCAAGCGCCUCAAAUGCAUGUCUUUUUGUCAUAGAAGCCUCAUCCCAAACAAUUAGUGUUGCUUGGCAUAAAAGCUUCGCAAUUCCACUUUGUUUAGUAAUGUGACAAAUGCUGUCUUCAUUGACUAUUAUUGGAAUUUUAAAUCUUGAGUGUGCUGUUCUACCGCCAGGCAAGAUAGCAGCUGCCACACCUGAUGUUGCUGUCGCGAUAGCAAUAAGCCCUAGUGAUCGUACUUUUGCCAACAAUGCUUUAUAAAGAAAAGUUUUUCCAGUGCCACCAGGUCCAUCUAUAAAAAAUAAUCCACUUUUUGAUUCACGGAUGUGACUCAUAAUUUCUUCAAACGCUAUCAUUUGCUCAGAGUUUAGAGAAUGUUGAGCAUUUAAGUGUUCUUCUUCAACAAUAAUUGACAAUUCGUCAUGCACUUCCCUCACCUCAUCUAUAUAAUAAUCUAUGUCAUCUAAAAUGGGUGGUAGAUCAUACAUGAAAAUCUUCUUUCCCAUUGAUUCCAGAAAGAUUGAAAUAUCACGAAGCACAAGUUGCUCGACUCUAAUAGAAUCUAGAUUACCCUGUCGAAAAUCCUCCGAUAUUGAGUUGAAAUGCAUAGUGUAUAAUGCACGUAUAUUUGAUGGCUCGCAAUACACUAAAAUUGUUGCAAAUAGUCGUCGAAGUCCUUGUGGAAAUUGAAAUGUUGAUGCCUCAGCUAAACAUUCAGAAAUACUAUCAUCAGUAUCUAUAAGUCCACGUUUUUCAGCCGAUUCUCUGAAGGUGUUACAUAUUACACCAUUAACAGUUAAAAGAUCAAUAUAUGAUGUAACUCCUCUAACAUGAUUUAGUAAAAUCCUUAAAUAAUAUCGCUCUCCUUCCACUGGGUUAGCAGCUACUACUCUACCUAUUUCGUACUUCUUCUGUCUUCUUUUCCAAUAUUUUCCAGUGCUACACCACACAUAAUGUUCUGGAAACUCUCGAUAUAAAUAAUUCCUAGCUUCUGGAUCAACUAAAUUCAUUCGAAAGUAUUCGGUCAACAUUGUUUUCGAACUGUUCUCCCUGUCAAUUACUCUUUGCAAAUCAUCAAAAUCUUUAAAUGUCACAAAAUGCAUAUCAGGUAAAUGUAAUUGUAAUGACUUUACGGGAGGAUACAUUUCAUUUAAGUUGAAUUGAUAAAUUCUCCACAUAGCCUCCGGCGGAGAUACCCAACGAACAUCUCGAAAUAAAUGAACCUCAUUAAUUUCAAUGUUACUCGAUGAUCCCUCGACAUUCACUGCUCCCCUGUCAUGACCUUUGUAUAUGUACUUGAAUAGAUACUUAACGGCUUUAAUACUUGAGCAUAUUUCAACAUUAAUAUGACAAUUGUAUCGCAUUAGUAAAUAUGGAUUGUACGGUGAGACCCAUCUGUUAUCAAGAAUGGCACCUCUUACUUUUACUCUACGACCAUUUUUUCUCCUUCGGUAUAUAGGAUAUGAAUCCUUUCCUUGAAUAGUAUUCUCAGUGAAUUGUUUAGGGUACUGAAAUCUGCAUUUUCCUUCUCUCAUGCAUGCGUUAUGUGGCUUCAAUGCUCCACAAGGUCCAUGGAUCAUGUGCUUGACAACUAAUUGGUGGAGCAAAGGAUAUUUGAUUUGAUCGGGUAUUUCAGCAGACACAAUUUUAUCAUACUGAUCUGGUGUUGUUAUUUUGUUAUGAGAGGCUAAUAUAAUCAAAAAAUGUGCAUGGGGCAAUCCACGCUUUUGAAAUUCUAUUACAUGCACAUGCGCAGCAACCUGACCAAAUGUAUUUCUUUUGAAUAAUUGGUCUUUUAAGUCUUCAAGUUUAGCUCUAAAAAUUCUUGAAGUCAAAUCUGGACGAUCUUGUGCUAGCUCUCCAGGCCUCAGUUCUGCUUUAAUUUCAUCCCAAUCCGGAUUGCAUGUCAUUGUAAGAAAUAUAUCAGGUUUGCCAUAACGUUGAACUAAUGCCAUAGCAUCUAGAUAGCGCCGACGGAUAUCCCGAGGACCACCUAUAAAAGAUGAGGGAAGUACAAUUCGUUUGUCAGCCAUACUACCACGCAGUUCACCAGAUGCUACACUAUCAACAAUGUCUUGAUACAAAUCGGCUCGAAUUCUUAUUUGGUCCUUAAUAAUGAAAUCCAGUCUCGUUGACUCAAUCUUAAUAUACAUAUCAACUACAAACUGUUGUAAUAAUCUUCCAGAUAAUAACAAUAUAGAUUUCACAGCAGGACGAAUUUGAAGCCUAAAACAAUAGUACUCUCUAAUAGAAAUCUGUUUCCUGUAACGUUUACCAACUCCUGUAAAAAUUAGUAAAUUUAGUUAUAUAUUUAGUUUUUCAUUUAUGAAAGUUCUUUAGUCUAUACAAAUUAUCAAGAAAAAAAAAGUACAAAGUAAUUAAUCACCUUCAUUAUCAUCUAUAAUGAUAUGUUCACUUUGCUGUGAUGUUAGAGUAGUAAUACUCCUGCAGUCUACAUGGUUUGUAGAUGAUAUCCCUUCUCCUGCAAUAGGUAUAUCUGGUUGCCAUCCUGGAUCUCCAUUUGGAAAUAAUAGAGGGUACGAUAAUGGAUCAUAACAUCCAUAAUAUGGUUGAAUGAAAUGAGUAUAGUUGGAUCUAUCGUAGAUAACAAUGCUCCGCUUGUAAAAUUGAGGACAUCCAUUGCCUUCCACCCAAAUAGCUGCAACUUGCGAUGCAGUAGGUGCAUUAUAUACUCUUUGAUCUAGUUCAACACUUGUGCUUAAAGUAAUCCUAUAAUUAUCAAGUGUUCCAAUGUCUCCAAGACUCCUAAAACUUGCAACAUAUGGAUUUGUAGAUAGAAUGCGCACAAGCUUGCUAACCAUUUUGUCAUCAAGAUAAGAUGUUCUUUGCAAUCUAUGAUUGAUGUCAUAAUCAGUAUCAUAAAAGUAUAAUUGCAUGUACUUUGGCCCAUCUUCCUUUGGAACUAACUGAUCCAAAAAGUGAUAUAUUUGUCCUUGUGCACGAAAAGUGUAUAUACCACCUCGCAUAGAUGCACAGUCUUUAUCAAGUCGAACCCCCAUUGACGUGAAGGAAAAAUGAUUAUUAUAUCUUCGGAUAUUGCUUCUAAAUUGAGUUGAUUCACUGCUGUGAGUUGUGAAAAGUUGGUAUAGUUCAUCCGGAACUGUUGGAUGCACUAAAUUAACCUUUCCGUUCAUGCAACAGAAUGCUGGAAACUCAUAUUGAAAUUUUUUUGCCCCACAAUAUACGCAAUUUCGUUGUGUCUUCAAAAUAUGAUGCUUUGUGGGUAAGUUAUGAUAUACAGAAUAGUCAAUACCAUUAUCCUCGCAGCCACCAGAGAGAUUUUGUUCACUUUCAACACUGUUGGAAUUGACAUCAAUGACGGCUAUGUCGGGAUAUUCAAAACCCAAUCCUAUCAAAAUCAUUUAAAAUAAUUAGUUGUUAUACGCAAAUAUAGUUGGAUUUUUUAUUUAUAUUAUAUUACCUUCAGUUGCACUGUCAUUUGUAUCAACUAAAUAGUUAAUUCCUUCGUCACAAUCAUCUUCAAAUUCAUGAGCACUAUCUGUGGAAUAUAAAAAAUUAAGUCUAAAUUAUUAAUAAAAUUAAAUAAUUAUAUGUUAUAAAUUUAUAUAUUGCAUGAAAAAAGUUACAAUACCUUCAAGGGCAAGGCUUGGUUUUUCUAAAUGACUGCUAUUUGAUGCUUCAAGUGACACGCCAGAUUCCCCAAUUUGAUUCUCCAAAGGCACACUUAUAAAAGUAUGACAGCUUUUAUAAGUUUCGCGCCUUUUGUUACGCCUCAUUUCUCUUUCUUCAUUUGUCAUACUUGUAUAUCUCUCGCGAUUAUACAUACGUUUCUUCUCAGCAAAACUGACUGCAUCAAAUUAAUAUUAUAAUAAAUCAUUGAAUGCUAGUGAUAUAUUUGGAAUGUAAUAUUCAUAAUUUCUCUUCUCUAUUACCUUCUGUCCUGGUCUCAUUUGUACUAUUUUCUGAUUCACCUAUGAUAACUGAUUCAGCAUUAUUCCUUUCAGCACGUAGAUUACGUCUCCUUCUUAGUCUAUCUUCUUUUUCUUCAACUGUCAUCCGAGCAUAUCUUUGACGAUUAUAUAGACGUUUUCUUUCAGCAGGCGCUACUACAAUAAAUAUAAUUUUGUAUAAUUAAUAAAUAUAUAUACCAUACUAAAGAUCAUUAUAUUAUAAAGAGCUCUAAUCAUUAAAUAUCCAAUAAUAGGUACCUUGUUUCCCUUUAUUGUUAUCUUGCCUACUCCCUUCCAUUUGUUUGAUGGGAAGAGGGGAUUAUGAAUAUUGUAUAAAAUAUAAGUACUAGUAGCGAUAGGCUACUAGUAUUGCACAUAUCCUUGUAUGGUACAGUCGCUUUUUAGCCGAAAACUGACAGCAAAGAUAAGACUAGGGUAGAAAAUUCGAAAUCGUAGAAUCAGGGGUCUGGGGUGUUAAACAAGUAUAAUCCAAAAGUGGCUAGUAAUUAGGUAGGAUCCCGUUGUAUAUACUGUUUGCGUAUUUAAGAUUUAAUAAUUGUAUUUAUUUUCAAUAGUAAUAGAAUAUUAAGUUAGGGUUGACUACUUAAUAAAUAUCCUANAGUCACUUGAAGAUGAAAAGAUCUUGAUUAUAAUUCCCUUUCCUGCAAUUACUUGAAGACAAAUAAAAUAUGCUUCCUGUUCCCAAUUACUUGAAAAAUGAUUCAAUCGUUGAUCCCAUGUCCAGUUUCUUAAAAACGAAUAAAUCUUGAUUAUAUUCUCAUUUCCUGUAAUAACUUGAAGACAAAUAGAAUAUGCUCUAAGUUGCUUGAAGAUGAAUAAAUCUUGAUUAUCCAUAUUUAUUUGUGAUGAGAGAGAGGAGAGGAACAAAAAAUGGAAAAAAUGAGCGGAAAUAAAAGUGCGGGAAGGAAAUGUGAUGAGAGAGCGGAGAUCACAGAAAAUGAAAAAUAUGAGUGGGAAUAAAUGGAAAAAAACUUAUAUUUUGGAAAUAAAUAGAAAAAUUUAAUAUGUUAUAUUAAAAAGAAAAGAUAUAUUGAAAUUCGGAAAUUAACAUAUAAAAGAAAAAUUAUUUACAAAUUAUAGAAAAAUAAAAUACCUUUUUCAAAAUAAUUUUUAAAUUAAACAGAAAAAUAAAAUCCGUAAUAUUUAAAAUUUAUUUUUGAAGUUAAAUAGAUAAUAUAUAAAAAAGAUAUUAUUAAAUUAAAUAGAAAAAUAACUUUUAGAGGAAUUUCACACCCGUAAUCUGUUAUAGAAAAUUAACUUUUAAAUAGGAAAGUUUAUUUAUGAAAAUUUACACACCAUAUUUUGAAAUUAAAGAAAAAAUAAAAAUCGUUAGAAAAUUUUUUUUUUGAAAAUAAAUAUAAAAUAAAAUCAAUCUUUUUUAAAAGAAAAUAUAUUUUGAAAUUAAAUAGAUAAUAUCCGAAAUA